AAAAUCCCAAAAAUCCGAUCAACCCUACAUUUGAUAAUGAAGGCCACUGACGCCUUUUUGUACAUUUUAUAUAACCCGUAAGCCCACCACAAGUACGGAAUGCUCACUUCCUCAUUAUUCUUCACUCCUCCUUCACCAAAUUCAUCAUUUGCUUUAGAAUUCCGAUCAAUUUCUGAUAUCCCAAUGGCUCCAUCAAUCAAAAGAGGAAAGAUCAAAUCUCAAGUGUACAACGACAUUUAUGGUGUUGUCGCUUCAUUCGCCACCAAAACAGUCGAAACCUUUGCUUUCAUCAGGAACACCACCACCACCACCACCACCACCACCACCGGUGACAAUAACGACGGCGGCGAUGGAGACCCCAACGGAGGUGGAUCUUCUCCGCCUCCAAACAACAACAACAACAACAGUCCAUAAUCAGCUACUAAUCUAUCACGAAUUCUGUUCCUUUUUCCCUUUGUUGUAUUUCGACUUGUAGCUUGUGUAAAAUCGUGUAUGAAUCGUGAAGAAUAAUUGGGAAUUGGGUCUGUUGUUUGUGAAAUCUUGGGAGUUUUAUUAUCAUUAUUAUUAUGAGUCGGGAUAUAUAUUAAAUCACCUUUUGUUGUAUGUUUCUUGAAAUCAAUAUAUUGAAAACCAAGAAUUCGUGAAAAUUUCUUCCAUUUUCUGUUUUCUUGUUUAUACAGCCGCCAACAUAGAUCGUCCAAAGCUAUGCUUACUUGUUCUAUGUGCAUCAUAUGCUGUACUGUACAAGUGAGUGAAGUACCGCAUAAAGAUAAACCAUGGUCAAAUGACUUUCGCAUAGGUCAUUAAACUUUACAUGUAAAUUUCAUAAUCUUUACAUGGCAUAAAUUAAAUUCGUGAAUUAUUAUGACUUUCACAUAAUAGGCUAUUUGGAUAAUUGGAUUAUUUAAACUUUUUUAGGGACGAAAAAAAAAAAGAAUUGGAGGUUCCUUGAUUGAUUAAUAAAUAAUGAUUGGAAUUUGGAAAUUGUACUUGUUGAUUGACUAAUUACUUGUUAUGGAAAUUAGUGUGAUCGUUGUAGUUUUUUGCUGACAACUUUGAUGAAAAUUAGGAUUAUUCUCUUUACAGGAAAGAGAAAAGAAAAAACAAUUACCAUGUGAGAUUGUGAGUGCGUAGGCCCCGGCUACUAUCCCACUCUUUGUGAAAAUGCAUUUUUUUUGAUGUAUAUAAUUUAAUUAAAAUAUUUGUAUUCAUUACAAAAAUUUUAAGGUUUUAAGAUCGGCGGAAUACCCAAGAGGAAGGGUCUCGUGAUCUACGUGGACAUGAGCGUUUUAUAAAAUCACAGCCUAAAAAAAGGUAGGGCAACGAACAAAUAAAGAACACAUUCUAGAAUGCUAAAAAAAGAGCAACACCAGUCCAUCCAAUUAUAAAUCUCGAAAUUACUCCUAUGUUAUCGUAACUAAACACAAAUAGUAACCACAUUAUCCACCCGUUUAGGAGAAAAGAUAUGAAUCUUGUUAAAAAUAAAUGGCGAGAUUUUUUUUUUCUCUUUUUGGUGCAAUGAUCCCACGUAGCGGUGUAGUUGACGAACACACAUUGAGGAAAAUUGUUCAUAGGUAACGUCUCACCAUUUGAAGAUCCAAAGCAGCGCAUCCAUUGCAAAUUUACACCCAACAAGAACAUGCUUUGUCUCCCCAAUCCUUAAAUUGCAUAACACACAUGAAGUACUACCAAAAGAGACACAUCUACUUGCAAGCACCAUAACAGAGGGGAUAUGAUCCAUGUAGGCCCGCCACAAGAAACUAGUGAUUUUGACAUACACCAAUCUUAACCAGAUCGUUGGGUUAUACACCAAAAUUGUGACCUUGUUAUCGAUCAACGCCCUUUUAAGUCUUGGACAUAAAACUUACCAUCACCAGACAACUUUGAAUUCAAGCCAUCCAGUGAACCAAGACACAAUACCUUGGAAAUGAUCCCUGAGACAAUAACCAAUUCUGAUAACUCCAUUGGAUCCUUUGGUUUCCUCUUCUAAUGUCAAACAAACUUGUUGGCAUUCACCCUCUCAGAAAUUAAACAAGACUUCCUUUUCCAAAUAAAAAUAUAGGGGAAAUGAGAGGCAAGGGAACCACCUCCUAGCCAAUCAUCCAACCAUAAAAGAAUGUUGUUACCAGAACCAACAUGAAACUCAAAAACAUAAGAUAACUCAAUACUAAUCUCAUAAAGUGUUGAGAUCACUUUCACAAUGUUGCACCACACCCUAUGGGAAGUUUUCUUGGCUAAAAUAUAGACCAACUUUCUGGCAUUGUUGUGAGUCCCAACAAUGACACGUCUCCAUAAGGAAGAAGCAUCUGACUUGAAUCUACAUAACCAUUUUGAUAAAAGAGCCAAAUUCAUCAAGAAUAACGAUAUGAGUCCAAGCUCGCCAUUAAUUUUAUGCCCUAGAACCACUUUCCAAGCUACCCAUUUGAUUUAAUUUUAUCCUCACUACCCCCCCCCCCAUAAGAACUUUCUCCGCAUCUUUUCAAGGCAAUCAAUAAUGGACAUCGACACUUUGAAUAACGAAAAAUAAUAGAGAGGUAGACUGCCGAGGACUACUUGAUUAAAGUCUGGCGGCCUCCAAAAGAAAGCGAAUUCAUUUUUCAAUCUGAUAACUUAAUUUGCACACACUCAAUAAUUGGUUGCUAAUAUUUUUUUAGAGACAUGUUGGCCCUAAACAGCACCAUCAAAUACUUGAAAGGGAACGAGUCCACUUCACACUUAAUAAUACGAGCACAAAUCACGAUAUUACUAUCCAGAACCCCAAUACCAUACACCUUCAACUUAUGAAAAAUAACCUUAAGGUUGGACAAAGCAUGAAAACACCUCAGAAUACACGUCAGAUUGACAAAAUUUGAGUUUGUCCAUUUUCCCACAAACAUAAAAUCGUCUGCAUAGAACAAAGAGGAAAUCGAAGGUCCAUUUUUGGGAUUAUUAACUAUGUUAACCAAAGAGUUUUGGUAGGCAGUUGGCCACAUUAAGGUCCUCCAUGGCAAUGACAAACAAAAAUGGAGAGAAUGGGUCACCUUGUUGUACACCUUUAGUCAAAGGGAACUCUUUAUAUGUAGAACCAUUGAUUAAGACAGACACGCUAGAGGAUGAUGGUAAACUUUUAUCCAAAACCUCAAUUUAACCCCAAAUCCCAUUUAGAACAAUACAUAAUCCAAAUACCCUUAGUUAAUGGAAUCAAAAGUCUUCUCAAAAUCAACCUUAAACAAAUAUUUUUUGCUUUUGGCUUUGUUUGCCCAAGAACAUACCUCAUUAAUGAUCACUCGACCUUCAAGAAUGUUACACCCAUGUAUAAAGUUAGUUUGUACCUCGUAAAUAAUUAAACCAAUAACCUUUUUAAUCCAUGACAUGAGAGUUUUGGCGAUGAUUUUGAAGACACAACGAAUAAGAAUGAUUGGGUGGAAUUCACUAAGAGUGAGAGGGUCAUUCACAUUGGGAACCAAGGUGAUGAAAGACGAGUUACUUCCCCUGGACAGGAAACGAAAAGACUUGAUAUGUUUCAUAAAAUGCAUAAUGUCAUCCUGCAUGAGAUCCCAGUAGUUCUUGAGAAAUUUAAAUGUGAAGCCGUCUGACCUUAAAGCUAUCUCCUUGCCACAGUUCCAUAUGGAUUCCUUAAUCUCGUUGAUAUGGAAUGGUGCUUCCUGAUAGGUUUUCUAUUCAUCUAUACACUAAUAUUUGGCAGCAUAUGAGUUUAAAAUGGCUCUAAGUGUAUAUGCAACCUAGGAUCUAGGUUUUACUAGUUGUAACAACCUACUUUCAAAACUACUAAAUAAUACUCCAAAGAGAGAUAGGAUUACUAACCUUUAAGAAAAUCAAAUUUGCUUCUUGAAUCCUUGAAGAUCUAGAAAAUCUUGAAGCUCUUGGAAGGUUUUAGCACGCAAGUAGAAUGCCUCUAAAGGGUUACACCCAAAAGACUAAACACCAGAAAAUUAGAAGAUAUGAGAAGAGGCUUAAAAAACUUGAAAUCUCUUAGUGCAAGGGAUCUAGGGACGAAAUCAAUGAAGGACAAGAGGGACUAUUUUGUAGAUGAGUAAACUUGCAUUGAAAGCAUAUUUAAAUUAAUUAAAUAAUCAAAUUUAAUCUUAAUUCAAAUCAUUGCCUUAUUAAUAGCUAUGAAUGAAAUCCUAAAGGGAUUUAUCUCUUCAAAAUCAUCUAGGGUUCUAGAAUAUUCUAGUUGCCAACCUAUUGAUUAAUUAAUAUUUAGUAUUUGUACUUUUAAACAAUUUUUUAUUAAUUCUAAUUAAUUCCAAAUUAAUUUUAAAUUAAUUCAAAUUAGUUAAAGUUAAUUCUUAAUUUAUUUUAACUAGUUUAUAAUUAUUUUAUCAAGCUAUGAUAAAUUAAUAAACUAUUUAUCUCACUCUCUUAAAUCUUUUUCUAGCUAUUUUAGCUCUUGAGGGCAACCCUAAAAUGACUUUGUUAUUAUUUCUAAAGUUAUACCAAUUAGUUAUGAAAUUGGACACUCAUUUCCAAAAGUCUCCCGCUUGGACACAUUAUCAAUUAAUAUUGGUCGAAUAAUCUUUAGAUAACGAACAAAGUGUGUCUUCCACAACAAUAGCCGAACUCUGAUCUAAUCAAGAAUCAACCCUUAGAUGAGUGAUCAAUUAUUCCUUUGUUUCUACAAGAUAUUUGUAUGAAAUGAGUCAUGGAUUUAUUAAUCAACCUAACAAUUUAACAUUUUGUUUUUCGAUUUCCAAUUUAUGAUUAUCAAAUCAAACUACUAAUUAAACAAAUCAAUUUAGUCUGGGCUAGGCCUAACACAUGGGGUGUCAUCGUCAAAUCAACGAGGGGCCUAUGAUAUCGCUUUUUGCCAUUGAGGAAAAAGGAAUAGAUAAACUUUGACUACACUGCUUUUGUCUACUCAUCGAAUCAUGCAUAGAGUUACUUGUUAUGACCACUAGUUACGAAUAGCGUUAGAUUAAGACUAACACACAACUAACUUGUAUGCAAAGUACUCAAUGUCUCUCUAUUUUAAGAAUUAAAGAUAAUAUCAUCUCAUAAUACUCAUGAUAAAAUCAUGAAGUAAUCUCUCUUAGUGCGGGUUUCUCCAAUAUUUAAAUCUAUAUUAAAAUACUCAAAAAUGUUUGUCUCAAUCUCAAUGCUAUGUCCAAUGCCAAUAGACACUCAACUAUCACUUCACAACAAUCUUAUUUCAAUGCUUACUUCCAAGAGUAUGAAUGAUUGUGGAGGUUUAAGUAAAUUAACACUCGGGAAGUCGGGAUCUAAACAUGCAAACACAAAACACAAUAAUAAAUUAAUUGUAAAUGGCAACACUCCUGAUUAUAAGUAAUUCUCCGUUAUUUAAUCGCCAAAACAAUUAAAAAAUUUAGCUAUCAUCAUAAAUGUUUCAACUAAUCAACUAACUAGUAAACUUUACAUCAUCUAUCAUGCCUAUUUGUUGAAGAUUUUAUGUUGCGUCAUUGGGACCUUUUGUAUAUGUCUAUUAUGUAAAUGGGUUGGGCAUGUUCUCAAGUAUUUUAUUAUAGGGUUAGAGUAUUUAUGGUGUGUGCAUGCAUCUUAUUUUUGUUAACUCUGAUAAUUACGCUAUAACCCUAAUCAUGCCUCUACAGUUGAAAUUCUUCAUCGAGUUCAUCUAAGGCGUGACGCUUAAUCAUUUGACAUUCUUGAUUCAUCAUUGUGUUAUUUCUUUUACUUGUUCUGAAUCUGAUUGAUCCUUAAGGAUUUUAAUCCUAACAAUUGGUAUCAGAGUAUGAGAUUGUGUAAUCUAUACGCAUCUCUUCUUUUUGCAGAGUUUUAGGGUUUCUGUUUGUAACAUCUUGAUUCAGAUUGUCCAUGAUUAGGGUUCGUGGGCCACGAGCCGAGCAUGAGGAAGUCUCGGGUUGUGGCGAGUUGCUGGAAUCGUAAGGCAUCUCAUCACCUUCCCGUAGGUAUGAGGAUCUUUGGAAUUGGAGUUAUAUCAAAGAAGCUAUGGAAGUUUGAAGAUUUGGCAAGAUGAGUCCCUAAAGUGGAGAAGUAUGGAAGCGAAGUACGUUGGGCGUACGUAUGCGUACGCUUAGCGUACAAAUGCACGUGUUCCUUAAGCAAGAGCCACCUAGUACGCUGGGCGUACCAGAUGGUACGUUGGGCGUAGUAGGAAUAGAAGGAAAACCCUAAUAUUUUAAGUGACCCUAUAUAAAGAAUGAGAUGGCCUCAUUCCUAGCCACCUUUCUCAAAGAGCAAACCCUCCAAAAUCCUUGUCCUUCAUUCUUGGAGCUUGUAUGUGUUUUUAAGAGCUUUUGAGAGUUUUGUGUGCUCUAGAGGAGAAGUGGAAGCCUUGAAGAAGAAGGAGUUGGAGUCCAAGCUUCUAAAUCUAAGCAUAUCUGAGAUGGGAGCGUCUUUUUGAGGUAUAAAGCUUGAAACUUUACCUCUCUUUUGUUUUAAGCAUGUUAAUGGGGUAUUUUAGGGUUUUGUCCCAAAAAGGUGGAGACUUGAUGGGAUCCUGAACUCCAGAGACUAAGACCCUCCCCUUUUGAGCUUAUUAGUGGUGUAAUGUCAUAAAAAUGGGACCUUGGGUGUUAGGACCAGGUUAUGCAUGAGAUAAGAGCUUAAUGGGUAAAGAGAAUAAGUGUUUUGUGUGCUUGUGACUUCUUCAGCCAUGCAAAGGCUUAAAAUCAUUAGCUUUAUGGAGUUGGAGAUGUUAGGAAGUCCAGAUCCAAGAGAUGAGUUAAGGUCUUAAUGGGUUAAGACCCAUAAAUUAAUUUAAGAAAAACUGAGAGUACGCCCAGCGUAAUGUUGGAUUAAUGUCUAAGUCCAUAACUAUAUUUGGUAUGUACUUGACCCGACCCGGCAUGGUCCAUUUGGGUUGCACUUCACCGACACAAUUUAUAUGGAUAAUCUUUUGAGAAUAGUAUGUUUACGAUUAAUAUUAAUAUAUUAUAAGUUCUAAUAUAUUAAUAUGGAAUCGUAUUAUUUAAUUAGUAUUGAUCAAGAAUUAAUUUAUAAUUAAUUAAGUGAUCAAAAGGAACUAAUUAAAUAUGGACUCUUAUAUAUAUGGAAUGGGCCAAGUUCAUUUAGGUUGGGCUAAGCUUUCAUGGAUAGUCCAUGGAGUGUUUAACCCAUGGAUCCUAGGAAAUGAAAGGUCAUGGGUAUUAGGGUUUAACCCUAAUCCUCCAUACUAUAUAAAGAUGUCUUUGGUUGGUGAAAUUGGCACUAGUGUGGAUACACUAAAGAAGGGCUAGCCAAUUUCACUAGAGAGAACCAAGUAAUCAUAUUCUCUAAAGUAUUCCAAGGUGUCUUGGUGAUUUGUGAUUCCACUUGAGGCUUCCACACUAUUGGGGCUAAGCUCUUAAAGCUUGAAGACAUCAAGCUACAUCAAGAGGUAUGUAUUCUAUCUUGUUACAUUCAUAGUUUUUGUAUGCUAGAUUAGGAUAAUACCUUGGAUGUUCUUAUUUGCAUGUAUAAUAGAGAAAACAUAGAUCCAAGGUAUUUAGGGUUGCAUGUACACUUAGGAAGUGUUAGAAUGCUCAAAACCCAACAGUGGUAUCAGAGCCACGGGUUGUUUUCUGUUAUAUUGAUGCAAAUAUUUUAUUUUCAAAGUUGAAAAAAAAAAAAAAAAAAAACAUGAAGUUUGUCAAAUUUUAAGAUAAUUACUUGUUCUUGUGAAAAACUAAUUAUUUGUAAAAUUUGAAUAAUUUGCUUUAUGAGUUGAAUUAGGUCAAAUUUAAUAAAAGAUAAAAUAAUAUGAUUAUUUUAUUAGUUUUAAAAGUUUGAUCUAAAGAGUUUUAUUUUUUGAAACCUCCAUAAGUUAUGGAUAUGAAAAGGUUUUAAAAAAAAAAUUGAUUCAAAGUUUUUUUGGAGUUACAAAAUUUGGUGUUAAUGUUUUAAAGGAUUCCAUAACUUAAGAAUAAGUUAUGGAUCACCAAAAGUUUUUUGUGUUACCUUGUUUUAUGAGUGAAUUUAGAUUAAUGAAUAAAAUUAUGUGAUAGUUGGUUUUAAUCCAAAUUAAUCUAAGAAUUGAUUCUAAAAUGUGUUUUUGUAACUUGUCCUCAAGUUAUAUGAAAAGUCACAUUUAAGAAUCAUAAAACUCAUAAAAAUUGGCAAAGGUUACAAAAAUGAAGAGUCUAGUUCUAAUUAAAUGGUUUUAUGACUCCAUAACUUGUCCUCAAGUUAUGGAGGACCAAGAGUCUCUUCAUUUAAUAAAAUAAAAUAAAAAAAAAAAAAGUGUAACCUUAAUUAAUUCCAUAAGUUAUAAAAUAAAGAAAAGUUAAUUCUUUUAUUAGUUUAAAGUCUUCCAUAACUUGUCCUCAAGUUAUGGAACUUGAAGAGUUUUUGGAUUAAAACUACUUUAAACACAUAAGUUAUGGAAUUAAUUAGUUUUGAAUAGUUUCAAAACUUGCCCUCAAGUUUUGGAAUUUGUAAAGUUUUCACUUAUGAAUACUUUAAUUCCAAGUUAGCCCUUAGAAUUUUAAAAGUUAAAAUUCAACCCUUAUACUUUAUAAUAUUAUAAGUUAAUAAUAUAUAUAUGUAUAAGAGUAAAGUCAGUCUUACCGCUAGUACGCCUCAUUCACGAAGCCGGUCUAUAAGGUGGGUAUAAGGUUGUUGCCUAUAAAAUGGCAACUUAAUGGGUGUCCACUCUCACCCACCGCUUGCUUGACUGGUGGAGGGUCGUUAGCCGAACGGGUUUGACAGGACUAGAAUUCUCCCUUCAUUAAAAGUAUUAAUGAUAAUACUAAGUAACUAAACUCUUAAUAAUACCCAAUCUUAGUUACUUAGGAAAAAUGUGAAUAAGGUGCUAAUCCAUGAAAUUACACUUUACACUUUGUCUAAGUCGUUAGUGGAGCGUGUGUGGUUAACCGGCACACUAACUUGGACUUAACAAGGUAGGUAAAGGGUGACUUAAUAUUUAUCAUAGUAUCGAUGGAGCGUGUGUGGUUAACCGGCACAUCGAUUGAGGGGUAAUUUAUUAAGGGUACCAAGUGAUUUGCAUGGUUACUUCACACCUUGUUUUGUGAUCCUCGGCAUCCCAGUCACAAAACCUGAAGGGCACACUCGAGAUUGAAACAUGCCUUUGAACAGUUCAAUGAAUCUCAAAGAUCUAGGAGUUUCAAAACCAAUUAAAACCUAAUAAUACAUUUCGUUUAUCUUGGUGGAAAUUGGUGAAUCGUCAUUCACCUACCUUCAAAUAUUUUAUAGCUUGGAUUACGGCAUACCUCUUCUAAGUUAUAAAAUAGUUUGUUGGGUCCUAGCCUUAAUAUUUCAUAUUGGGUGUCAUAUUAAGGACUUUAAAUCAACUAUCUUGAAUAUCUCCCAAAAGAUGUCUGGUUUAGACACCUAUGAUCUUCCCAAAUCUCUUGAAACAAGGUUUCCUAAUGAAGAUGAUGUCCCAUGGAUAUCAUACUUCUUUCUCCUCCUCCAAUUAUUCUCCCUAACCCACAAGUUCUUGAAAAGUUUAAGGUCACUCAAGCCCUAUUGGCAAGGCAAGGUCUAGGUGUGAUCACAUCUUGGAGAUGUAGUCACAUAUUGACAAGCCGGGAGAGUUGGGUGUCAAAGUCUUGAGAAAGUUGGUGGUUCAAUCACUUUCUAAGUCACAUAGUGAGUUCCUUUGGGACACCUAUGAAACAGACUAUGACAAGACCCUUAAUGAUCUUAUCUAUUUGCUAAGAUCAACUUCCUAAAACUUUAUGGACAUUGACAAUGAUGACAUUGGAUAUCCAGUAAAGCAUUCUCUUCCCAAUGGAAAGGGAUCGGCCAUAGUCAACUCGGUUGACCAAAUGGUAAAGAGAAAAGCUAAGUCUGUGAUAGUCUCGUGUACCAUUAUCAAAGGGUCCAUAUGUUUAUAUUGCCAAAGGAAGGGGCAUUGGUUGCGAAGCUGCCAAAUUUACCUAAGGAUGUUAAAGUCAAUAAGUUUGACUCUACUUCAGGUAAAGUCCACUAUCUAACUCUGUUAAGUUUCUAUUCUGAGAUUCCUGAUACAUGAUGUGACUGGGUCACAUGGUGAUGUUUUAAGAAUCAAAGAAAAGUGAAGAAACUUAAAGAAAGAAUAUGCUGAAUCUGAUGGCGUAGAUGGAUUUCUAUCGCAUAGUUUGAAGAUCGGAUUCUUGAGCAACUUCUUAGGAGUUAUGAGAUAUUGCUUAGGAAUAGAUAACAACAAGUUUUCAUAUGGAUUGUAAGGAUAAGUUUUUCCGCAAAGUUUUAAAAUAAAAGAAAAUUUUUGAUUUUAUUUAUUUUAAAAUAUCCUUACAAUGGCAUUUGAGGAAAAAUUGUUGCUUAUAUGAUUCCAUUAAUAGCAAGAGUGGAAAUAUGAAAUUGAUUCUUUCAUUUGUGGUAAUGUCUAGAUUUACCAAAUAAGGAAAGAUUCUCAUCACCCAAGUUUCAAUUGGACCGGAACUUGGAAUCAUGCAAGUUGUAUAGCAUGAUGAAUGAGAACUUUCAAGUUUUGGAAAAUUAAGACUAAUUACUCGGCCACAUGGAUGUGUGAGUCAAGUAAAGGACUAAGGGAUCGAGUACACAUUCUUGUGCACUGAUUAAGUCCACCACAAAAGAUUGAUAAGACUAUUCGUCAUAGUUUACUAAAGCUCAGUAAAUAUGAUUAUACUUACAAGCUUAAGUGUAACUCUGAGACAUUGGAAAAGGUUCCAAUGUAUGGCAGAGCGAAUAAGAAGAAUCAAAUUAGGCAGAAGGAUAAAAGUUUCUCAAAUCUGAAAAGAUGGGAGAGUACUUUAGUAUCAGUUUUGUGAUCAUCUUAAUGAUUAAGAAACCAUAUCAAAAUUAGUUCUCUAAGGAAAUCUUAGUGCAUUCUUAUGACUAAGAAGAGGAACUUGAAUUGUUGAAAUGGUUAAAUCAAGAAGAUGAGUCAUACUUCGUUCCAAUACAAGUCUUAGAGUCAUACUCCAAGAUUGUAACUUGAGUGACAUGUCUUAAAGAAGGUUUAAAACACUUGUCAAAUGUAAGAGUAAAAGUUUUCUACUCUUGUACAUUUGAAAUUGGUAAGUUGUGAUGUUUUGGAUAAAACAAAGACCAACUUAGGCCAAUUGUGUGAAGUGUUUGUCUUGAUUAGAAUCCACACUAUCUCUUGGAUAUUUGACAAGGGAGUCUUAUAGGUCAAGAGGUCAGUGGGAGUCUUAAAAGUCUUGAAAGUCUCAAGAACUAAUCAAGAAUAAAACCUAAAGUUCUUCACUAGCACACAACUUGAGGUUCAUAACCUAUCGUGUUGACAUAUUCUGUGCCCAUUCCAGUUAAAGUUGGUUUUGCAUAUGAGUUCUUAGAGUUCUCAAUUUGUUGCACAACAACUUGGAAGCAAUGGUAGGCCCUUGAGCUGCCAGGUGGCAAGAAAUUAAGAUUGAGUUCAGUCCAUAUGAGUUUGGAUUUGUCAUUAUCCUUGUCUUGUGACUAUGGUUUUGACAAUUCACAUGGAUAAGAACACAUACACCAUUAAAUCUAAGUGUCAUAAGGUUUCUCUCCGAUUCAUGAAAAUGAUGGUGAGGAAACACUUUCACUAAGUAGAUUUUAGCUAGAUAGCAAUUGUGAUAUUUGCAUUCUCAAAGUCGUUAGUGGAGCGCGUGUGGUUAACCGGCACACUAAUUUGGACUUGUGAGAAGUGGCAAAAAGGUCUAAACAUUAUGAUUACGGCAUCCCUCUUCAUAAUUGUUUAGAUACACAAGUGUGCUAUCUAAGGGAAGGUGUAUGAUUUUGAUAAAGUUUUAUCAAAACAAUCUAGCAUCAGAAAUCUGAACUUUGGUAAGAAAGUCAAUGAAGUAUUGAUUUCUAGAAGUCCAGCUGAUUUCUGAGUACAUGUCAAAGCUAGUGGGAGCAUAAGUGUUAUGCUAAUAAUCAUCAUGUUAGUGGGAGCAUGAUAAUUAUGAUAAGUAUUGCAAGUUAGCAAUGUUAAUUAUAGAAAACAAAAGUUUCAAUUGGGAAAAAGUUGUUUUGCUAUAAUUAAGGGAGAGGAAAUUAUACUUCAUCUCAAAUCUAUAAGCUUAGAUCGUGAGGUUUUAAUCAUUUAGUCAAGGAUAUAUAUGAAUUUCAUGUUGGAAUGGCUCAACAUAAGGAAAUUCUGUAUAUGGGUCCAUUAUUUGCGUUCUAAAAUUCGAUUAUGAUUACGGCAUCCCUUUUCAUAAUCUGAAUUAUGAGAACUUGGCAAAUUGAAAUGGAAAUAUUAUAGCAAAAGACUGGUUUAGUCUUUAUGUAAGACAUCAUGAAUCGUGUCCCAUAUGCUUCGGAUAUAGGAUCGAUUACAUGUGCUAUAUUCAUCCGUUCUAAAAUUUUCCAAAUGCCUGGGGCAUUAAGAAGGGAAAAGGUUUAGAACUGGAUAUGACUAAAAGGAUUAAACAAUUGUCGAGGACAAUCUAAGGUUUACCAAAGAUUGGUUGCUCAAGGACAGUUGGAAGUAUAGUGAUAAUUCUGGAAGGACCAUAUUGACAUAAUCUGUAAGGAGGCAACUCUUGUUCAGAAGUGAUAGUCAAAAUGGAAUCUGGAAAUGUUUCAAAGUUAGAAUUUUCAAUCUGUUUAAGAUUAGGAAACUUAAUGCAAGAAGGAUGUUUCCAAGGAGCUGAUCUCCUUUGGAAUACUCUGUAAUGAUUGUUGUCAAGUCUUUCUGACUUUGUGCAUAAUCAUUACAAGAGGAUCAAUGCAUAUAAGUUUAGAAUCUAACAGAUUUCAGUAAAUGGCAUGAAUUUGGAAUUCUUGCAUUUGCAGUAAGGAUUUGGGAGUGUGAAAAGAGAAUCAUUGAAGUUAUGUUCAAUUGAUCUAGUUCACAAAGUAAAGAUCAUAGACAAACAUAGUAUGCAUACUUGGUGUGUGGCAUGACUAGUGUUUAAGAAAACAUAGUGUACAUGCUUGGAGCAUGGGACAACUAUUGUUUUAAAUUCAAGAAUAAAGUUGAUAGCUGAAACAGUAUACAAUGAAUAAUGUGUAAUCAUAUGGUGAUAAAUAAAAGGUGUUUUAUUUAUGUUCAAAGAUUUGAUACCAUAUUGGAUUCAAUUAUUAUUGUGUUUCACUUUGCAUGUUUUGACUUCCCGAAUAAACUAGGUUAUUCUUCCGGAAUGACUAAGUUAUUCAAACCAUCCACAGUCGGUCAUAUGUUGGAAGUAGAUAUGAAUUAAGACUGUCAUGGGUUGGCUUGUAGAGGUCUAAGGUGUUGGACAAAGGGCUACAACACUCAUGAGUGCUCAUAAGUUCUGAGUAUUGGAUUCAACCCGCGCUCAUUGGAAUCACUUCAUGGAUUUUAUCACGAGUGAUCAUGAGACGAUAAUAUCUUAUAUUCUUCAAACCUAGAGAUAUGAGUUGUUACUAUGAGUUGGUUGUACAUUGAUUGCACGAAAACGCAUUUGGUAACUCGGUGCUAUAAAACGUGCCUUUGUGUAUGAUUCAACAAGUAGUAGAACAAGCCAUAUGAGUCGAAGUUUAUCCAUUCCUUUUACCUUCGGGAUAAAAGCGAUAUCUGUGGGCCCCUCGAUGAUUUGAUGAUGACAAAUGGAAGUGCUCGGCCGGGCCAGGACUGAUUUGAUUUGUUCAAUUAGUCAGUCGUCAUAAAUCGGAAAUCGGGAAACAACAAAUGGACAGAGAGAAUGAUUAUAAUCCAUGUCUCAGUCCAUAUGAUAUCUAGAAUGGAGGAAUAUAUGAUCCCUUAUCUAAUGGACAAGUUCGUUGACAAGAUCAGAGUUCGACAGCAGCUUUAAGAGCUACGAUUGCCAGUUAGGUUUGAAGUCAUACGCAAUAAUAGUUUUAGACUUAUCCAAGUGGGAGACUGUUGGAUUAAUGUCUAAGUCCAUAACUAUAUUUGGUAUGUACUUGACCCGACCCGGCAUGGUCCAUUUGGGUUGCACUUCACCGACACAAUUUAUAUGGAUAAUCUUUUGAGAAUAGUAUGUUUAUGAUUAAUAUUAAUAUAUUAUAAGUUCUAAUAUAUUAAUAUGGAAUCAUAUUAUUUAAUUAGUAUUGAUCAAGAAUUAAUUUAUAAUUAAUUAAGUGAUCAAAAGGAACUAAUUAAAUAUGGACUCUUAUAUAUAUGGAAUGGGCCAAGUUCAUUUAGGUUGGGCUAAGCUUUCAUGGAUAGUCCAUGGAGUGUUUAACCCAUGGAUCCUAGGAAAUGAAAGGUCAUGGGUAUUAGGGUUUAACCCUAAUCCUCCAUACUAUAUAAAGAUGUCUUUGGUUGGUGAAAUUGGCACUAGUGUGGAUACACUAAAGAAGGGCUAGCCAAUUUCACUAGAGAGAACCAAGUAAUCAUAUUCUCUAAAGUAUUCCAAGGUGUCUUGGUGAUUUGUGAUUCCACUUGAGGCUUCCACACUAUUGGGGCUAAGCUCUUAAAGCUUGAAGACAUCAAGCUACAUCAAGAGGUAUGUAUUCUAUCUUGUUACAUUCAUAGUUUUUGUAUGCUAGAUUAGGAUAAUACCUUGGAUGUUCUUAUUUGCAUGUAUAAUAGAGAAAACAUAGAUCCAAGGUAUUUAGGGUUUCAUGUACACUUAGGAAGUGUUAGAAUGCUCAAAACCCAACACGUAAUUCUAGUACGCCCCACGUACUGGGCUGAGGUCCCCGAUCAGAUUUGUGGAUGAUUGAGUACGCUGAGCGUACCAAAGGAGGUACGCCCCGCGUAACCCCUCUGUGGGCUUUUGGGCUAAGUGAUGUGUUGGGCCUGGGGUUCGGGCUUCACACAAUAGAGCAUUGGAUCAAAGAAUCAUAUGUAUGUGCUUUGGGCCCUUGGGUUGGGAUUGCCUUUUAGUUUGGGGUUUUGGGCUGUGUGAGGGUCCAUUUAUUAUUGGGCCUUGGUGGGCUCAAUGGGUUCAGGGCAUUAAUGGGCUGGUAAGUGGUCUAUCUUUAGACCCAAAUAGUGAGAGUUUGGACUUAGCUCCUAAUUGAGAUAAUUAUGGGUUUGGGACAGAGUUAGAGGCCGGUGCGUGGCAGCAGUGUUUAUAGGAGCUGUUCUUUAUCUGAGGCGAGUCUUCUCACUAUACUUUACCUUGAGUGGUAGUUAUGUGUGACCGGAAGGUCUUAUGUGCUUACAUUGGGUAUUAUGUUAUCCUAUUGUUUGUGACAUGCUAUGCAUUAUGUCUUUGUGAUUUAUGCUAUGCGGAGUUUAUAGACUGGACCGAAGGGUCCAACGAUUUAUGAGGCCGGAAGGCUUAAGAAGACCGGACCAGAGGGUCCAACGAGCUUAGGACCAGAGGGUCCACAGUGUUAGGUCCAGAGGGUCCACAGAGUUAGGACCGGAGGGUCCACAGAGUUAGGACCGGAGGGUCCAUAGAGUUAGGACCAGAGGGUCCACAGAGUUAUAGCCUUGAGUGGCUAAUAUGUGUUCUAUGUGGUAUUUUGGGGAACUCACUAAGCUUCAUGCUUACCGUGUUAUGUGUUAUGUGUUUCAGGUGUUCUUGUCUGGAUCGCAGGACGGCACCGACUUGAUUGUACACACGAGAGAAAGAGUUAAGAGGAUCCUGGAUUAAUAAUGGAGUUGUGCUUUGUAAUUAAAUAAAAGAGAUUUUUAUAAAGAUAUGUUAUGAAGAGUAUGCAUUUUAAAAAUGAAAAAUUGUUUUAAAUUUUCACGUCGUUACACCAUUAAUAUAGGAUCUAGUUCAGUCGUCUUCAUUGUCAUCUUGAUGGCUUAAAGUGAUCUUGAUAUUACCCUACAAAUAAUAUUUGUUUACAAGUCUGAUUCUUUACAGGUAUCAAAGAAAAUAUCAUCAUGCAACACGAUGAAUCUCGUAUCAAUUCCUUGAAUAACUCAAGCAGUAUUGGAUCAACAACCAGGAUCCCGAUUCUCUUUCCGCAUGAAUAUGAAGUUUGGGUGCUUCACUUUGAAGAAUAUGUUCUCGGUUCAGACGACAAUGGCUAUUUAAUAUGGGAAGCCAUUACUUUUGGUCCAUUCGUUCAUACAGAGACCAAAAGAACUAUCAAAACUCAGAAGGAAUACAACCAGCUGCUCCUUGGUGUGAAGGAUGUUCCUCAGGACAAGAAAGAGAAACUAAUCAGCAACGUCAAAGCAAUGUGGAUCAUUAGUGUAACACCCAAAGUCUUGAAAGCCCAGAAAGUAAAGGAAACCCUAGAUUUAAGGGGGACUCGGCGAGUCCAAGGAGGAACUCGACGAGUCCAAGCGGGAUCCGAGUCGAGGAGUAAGUGACCAACUCGGCGAGUCGGCCAAGGCGACUCGGCGAGUAGGGUCUGUGCGAGGAAAACCCUAAAUCCGGGGAUUGGAACCUAUUUAAUCGUCUGAUUCUUCUUCCUAGGGAUCCUUUACUGUCUCUCACACACAGAACGCCGCACCCUAAGCCUCCAUUGUGCUCACUCAAGCUUUUAGCCAUUUUUUAGUGGUUUUAAGGAAGAAGAAGAAGUGGGAAUCUUUGAAGCAUCAAGGAGUGGCCUUGGAUCCGAAGUUUGGGGAACAUUUCUGAGAAUUUGAAGGUAUUAAGUCGUUCCUCUCCUUUAGAUCUUCUUUGGUUAUGAGUUUUGGGGCUUUUAAGCCAUGUCUAAGAUCAAUCUCGAGCUUGAGGUCCAGAUCUGAGGUUGCUACCUCAGAUCCAUGCUUGUUUUGGUUUAGAAUCCCNUGUAAAGUAUCAGCCAUCGAGUGGAUUUUGGAGCCUCUUGGUCUUAAACCCUAGUUCAUGGUGUAUUUUGCCUAGAUCUCCCUCUCUACACGUCAAGUUUGCAACUUUACAUGGGGGAUAGGAUUGGGAAGGGUAGAUCUACAGUUUGGAGUCCAUGCAUGACUCGAAAGUCCUCUGCAUGUAUGUAGAUCUGAAUGGACUCGGCGAGUCCUUCGAGUGGACUCGGCGAGUAGUUUGAAGACGAGGAGGAACUCGACGAGUGGGAUGAACAGAUCGUUAAGUCGGAUGAAGAUGGGCAUGAACUCGAUGAGUUGGAUGAACAACUCGGCGAGUUGGAUGAAGAUUUCCUUGUGCUCGGCGAGUCAGCUCUUGGACUCGACGAGUCAGGUCGCGUAGUCCCAAACCCCUCGAGUUAAGAAUUGAGUCAGCGAGUCGAGCAAGGACUCAGUGAGUUGGACAGGACAGGGAUCGGGAAUCAGUAGACUCGCGAGUCAGGGGCUGACUCAGCGAGUCAUGUCGCGAAUGGAAGGACCCUGAGUAUGUGAACUCGGCGAGUCAGUUAGUGGACUCGGCGAGUAGGGUUGACCUGGAAGGUUGACUUUGACCAGGACUUUGACUUUGACCAGAGUUGACUUGGUUGUCUUUCGGGGGUCAGUUAGACUCAGUGUUGCAUUGAUAUUGGUAGCUCGGGGAGCGAGUGGAGCAGGAGUUCAGAGAGUUGUCGGGCAGCAGCUAGUGGGUUCAUCAGCCAGUUCAGCCAGUGCAGGUGAGUUUCCCUUUGUAUGAAUGGGUCUACGGCCACAAUGCCGGCCCAUGUAGUUAUGAGUAGAAGACCCGGGGGUUAGCCCUAGGCACAGUAUGCUAGUAUGAUAUUCGGGACGAGGUCCAAUGAUAGAGGGCGGGUGCCCAAGGAAUGGUUUAUGUGAUAGUUUAUACUUGUUGUCUGUGUGAUACUUGUAUGUGCCUGGUAGGGAGGUGAGUGUGGGCGAGGUCCCGUAUCUCACCAAUAGCAGAGUGUGGAUGGUGUUCCACAUCUCAGUAGCAGCAGAUCAGGGGCGAGGCCCAAGUUAGGGAAGGAGUGAGGGUGGGCUGGGCCCGUACCUCACUAUCAGCAGGAGUAUGGACGGGGUUCCAUGACUCAUCAGUAGCAGGACAAGGGCGGGGCCCAGAGAUAGGCGAGGCCUUAGGACAAGAUCCGUUAGUAUGUGUUUAGCUUAUGUGAUGUGAUGUGAUAUGUUUAUGUGCUAUUAUAUGUUAGUGGGCGAGGCCCUGUGACAGGCGAGGCCUAAGUGAAACAGAUCUGUAUCCGAGCGGGGCUCGAAGCCAGGCGGGGCCUGGAGCGGCGGGACUGUUGUAGCGGGCGAGGCCCAGGAUAGCAAGCGUGGCCCAGUAUGUGUAGUGUGCGGUUAUGCGCAUGGUAUGUGGUAGGGUGGGGAACUCACUAAGCUUCGUGCUUACGGUUUUCAGUUUUGGUUUCAGGUACUUCCGGUAGUGGAUGAUGGAGCUCGGAUGAUCGCAUGGCACACACCAUAGUUUAGACAGCCUGGGGAUGUUUACUCUGAUAACGAAUAUGUAUUUUGGAAACUAAUACUUUGUUAUGUUUGAAAACGAUGAAUUUACUUAACGUAAUAUUUUAUUAAAAGAAAUUUUUGGUCUUAAAUUUUCGGACGUUACAAGUUGGUAUCAGAGCCUUGGUUUGAGGGAUUCGGGUGUACUCUCGGGUGUGCUUGAACUCAAACUGAGGGGUCGGAUAAAAAGUUUUCAGAAAUGAAAAGACAGUUUUGUAAAAAGAAUUUUGAGGACGAAGAACAGUUUUAGAAAAGCAAAAAGAAUCCAGAAAGAGGAGAAUUUUGAAAAGAGAAAAAGGGGUGUGGUGCAUGCAAUCAGUCGAGCUCAAGUAAGUACCCCAAAAUACCCAUACAAGUUUAUGUUAUGAUUAUCAGUUGAUAGAACAACAUGCUAGAAUAGGACUAAGGAUCUAGGGAUGAUGCCUUAUGUGCCUGUUAUUUGUGCUUUUGAGCUGCAUGAUAGUGCUGAUUAGACAGUAGUAGGAUAGCCUGUUUAGGUUAUGCCUGAGUUUAUGAGUUUGUGUUGCAUGCUAGUUCAGAUUCUUGCUAUGUGGAUAUGAUUGCUUGAGUAUGUUGUGGUUAGAUUUUCCCCUUGUUCGAAUGUUGCUUGCUUUGUGCAUUGUGGGAUUUUGAGUGAUGGGAGUUAGCCAUUAGGUGGAUACGUCACGUCACAUGUGAUCAGGGUUGAAUAAUCUCAGAGUGUUGGAUUUUUUCCUAUUGCGUAGCUCUUGUCUGAUUCCAACUGUUGUAGGAACGAGUCUUUUACUUGAAGGAUUAUCUGAGCCUCGUCACAUGUGACGGUAUCCAGGUGAUGGCUAAUUGGCAUCCCAAGGAGACCUUCAGCAGCUGAGGACUGGUUUGAGUUGAGUCAGAGGUUUCCCUAGGGUAAGCCUAGGAUGAGGUAGUGUUGGGAGCAGUAUUAGUGGAUAAGGGACCUGGUGGAGUCGAAGCAAUUCCUGAGGAAAGUACGGAUAGAUGUGGAAGGUAGUAUGGGCCCGUACUACUGAAAGCAGAGGAUCCGUACUCGAUUCGGGAAAGGCCGAGACAAGACCGGGAACCUGGUAGGGUAUGUUUGGUCUCGCAUCAGUGAUGAGUAUUCUGAUAGUGGUUGUGGUAUAUUUUCAGCAUGGUGACAUUGCGAGAGAGACCAGCGGGCGGAUCAGGCGCCGGAGAGGGAUCAGGCUCGGGUUCAGGGGCCGAGCAGCUCGAGGAGCGAAUGAGGGAGUUGAUAUCCGCCGAGGUUGCGCGCAGUAUGCUAGAUCAGACUUCUGUGAUCUUUGGCACGGUCAAGGAGGUUAUACUGGAGAUUUUGGAAGAGAGGCUGGGAGCCUUCCGUAUCGAGAUGAUGGCUUUGCUGGGAGCGCGUACCUUGACAUUUCGAGAGUUCAGGGCCUGUGGGGCGCCAGAUUAUCAUGGGGCUAGGGACCCCAUUACUAGCAGCAGAUGGUUGGCUGAUGUUGCCAACGCUUUUCGUACGAGCAAGUGUCCCGAGGGGGACAAGGUUAGACUCGCCUCCUGUCUUCUGAAGGACAGAGCGAGGGAUUGGUGGGAGGAGAUUGGUCAUGCUUUGGGGGAUGAUGCCGCGUUGGACGCGAUGACUUGGAGCGAUUUCUCGGCCAGGUUCAGGGCGGAGUUUUCGCCGAUUAUUGAGGUGCAGCAGCUGGCACGAGAGUUUCAGGAUUUGACGCAGACUACUGAGACUGUGGCGGAGAUCACCGCCAAGUUCAGGGAGAGGGCUCUUCUUGUACCGCAGUAUGUCGCGGAUGAGGAGAUGAAGAAGGCCCGAUACCAUGAGAUGUUGAGGGCCGACAUCAGGGAGUUCGUGAGCAGGUCCAGUUGUAAGACGCUGGAAGAUAUGAUUUCUCGGGCUAGAGAGAGGGAAAUUGAUUUGGAGCAGAUCCGGAAGAGGAAGCCGGAUGAGGUUCAGGUAGCUACGGGUUCGGGCAAAAGGCCCAAGGGAUCGGAUUCGAGAUCAAGGGAUCAUCAGGACCGCAAUCGGUGCGGAAAGUGUGGCAGGGCACACGGGGGCGCGUGCAGGAGUGGUAGCGGCGGUGAGUCUGGCUGCUUCAAGUGCGGUUGGAAUGGUCAUUUUAGCAGGGAUUGUACUGNNNNNNNNNNNNNNNNNNNNNNNNNNNNNNNNNNNNNNNNNNNNNNNNNNNNNNNNNNNNNNNNNNNNNNNNNNNNNNNNNNNNNNNNNNNNNNNNNNNNNNNNNNNNNNNNNNNNNNNNNNNNNNNNNNNNNNNNNNNNNNNNNNNNNNCAGCGGGGCCACAAGAAGGCCCAGUGUCCCAGUUUGUUUUCGGCAGGACGGGUGAUGGCACCCGCCCCUGCAACCUUGAGGAUCACGGAUGGCCGUCAGGGCCGGGUAGAGGCACCUGCAGCAGGGAGCAGGGCUUUUCAGAUGACGACCUUAGAGACGCGAGCAACGCCGGACGUUGCAGGUAUGCAAUUUCCCAUUUUCAGUUCUUUUAUUUGUGCAUGAUUUUAUUGUUUGGUUCUGCAUCAUUAUCGGUAAAAGUAUUUUAUUUUGAGUGGUUGAUUGUGAUUGAGUUAUAUGCCAUCUGCAUAGCUUGGAUAUUGGAUUGGUAGUUAAGGGAUGGGUUCUAUUGGAGAAGGUUGCCUAGGAUGCAGUAAUUGUAGCAUGUCUGGGAGGGAUUUGGUAUGUCUCGCUAGAUCGGAGUCGUAUAGUGUUAGAGAUGGAUUGGUUAGAUCCCUAGCUAUGGUGAGCUUGGGUUCCUCAGAAGAUCGAUUAUGGAAUGGUAGCAAGGUUUGGGAUUUCUUUUUGAGUAUUGAGCAAGAAGGGGUAAGCAGGAUCGAAGUGGGGGAGAAUCCUCCAAGUGUGCAAAGGUAGGAGCACGCAGACCCAGAAUGAGUACGUGACCUCCGAGAAGAAAAGAAGUAGUUCAGCGUUUGAUGGUUUGAGGAUUCAGGGUUGGGAGUUUGAGAAACUCCCCAUCAGUUAUUGCGUGUGUUGGUAAUGGUUAAUGGGUGAUUGGGAAUUCGGGUUGUGGAUCGCCCGAAGGACUCGAGGGAGUCGGAGUGAGGAUCUUGAGAGCUGGUGGCACAUGGGUGCCUUUGUAUUAACAAUCAGUGGUAGGAGGUGAUGUAAGACUACGGGGCAGCCGCAGCAUUCACUAGUAGUUAGUGGUGGAAGUGUUGUAAGACUACGGGGCAGCCGUAGCAUUCAUUAGCAGACAGCAAUGGAUGGUGAUGUAAGACCAUGGGUAAGCCAUAGCAUUCCUUAGUAGCUUCGUUAGCGGAGUUGGGGCGAGGCCCUUAUCUCCUAGUGAUCAGAUAGGGAUUAGGAAUGGGUAGUGGAUGAGAAUGAUAGGGAGUUUGCCUAUAUAGCCCUAGAGAGGUGAGACCUUGGGAGAGGCCGCUCCAGGAUAUAGUUGGGUGAGACCCGUGGGCGAGGCCCGUAUGAGAUUAGCAGUGUAGAUGAGACCUGAGAGCAGGGUUGCUCAGUAGUAUGGUUGGGUGAGACCCGUGGGCGAGGCCCGAGCGAGAGUGAUUAGACUAGUGGGACUAGAAGGAUAGAGGCGGGUGGGACCCGUGGGCGAGGCCCGUGAGUUUUAGCAGCACAGGUGGGACCUGGUAGGGACCUUAGUGUCAAGUUAGGGGAUCGGGGAUCCCAGGUUUGUAGUGCUUGAAUAGCAGAAUAGAUUGAGCAGUUUUAGGGGUUGAAGCUUCUUCGGAAGUCGUUGGGAGCGACUAGUGGUGGUGUUGGGACUAGCUACCCGGGGGGGGCGGNGAUAGGGUGGUAGAGACCAGGGUGGUCUCAGUUCGUCCGAAGUCAGAAGAGGAGCAGCAGAAUUGCCAGUCAGUGGCAGUGCGAGUAUGCAGCGUAUAGUGGGAUUCAGUUAGUUGAUCGUGAGGUGCUCGGCACCAAACCAUAGUAGAAAGAAAUGCCCAGUGGAUACUGGCGAUAAUGACCCGUACUGGUAAAAGCGGGGGUGAUGGAGUUGGUGGAGGAUAGGGCCUUCACAAUGUCAGAAGGAAUAGUUAGUUAUGGGGUUUUGCCUUGGGAAGGCAAGGAAUUGUGCAUGAAGAAGAAGGGGUGAAUCCCUAUGGAUUCAGUGCAGUAUUCAGAGGGUACCCGAAGGAUUGUCGGUUGAGUAAGUUGUGCUUCCAGAAGGUUCAGGGUCAGGGUAGACCCAGGAUUAUUAUCUGUAAGGAUUAAUGUUAGUUGGAACGACCUAGCUAAAGGCUAGCGAAGGUAGGCAGCGGGUGUUGGAAUAAUGGGUUGGGUAUUGAAAGCAGACCGCGGGCGGUGGGCCAUAGCAAACUUCGAGGACAAAGUUUAGAUUAAGUGGGGGAGAGUUGUAACACCAAAAGUCUUGAAAGCCCAGAAAGUAAAGGAAACCCUAGAUUUAAGGGGGACUCGGCGAGUCCAAGGAGGAACUCGACGAGUCCAAGCGGGAUCCGAGUCGAGGAGUAAGUGACCAACUCGGCGAGUCAGCCAAGGCGACUCAGCGAGUAAGGUCUGUGCGAGGAAAACCCUAAAUCCGGGGCUUGGAGCCUAUUUAAUCGUCUGAUUCUUCUUCCUAGGGAUCCUUUACUGUCUCUCACACACAGAACGCCGCACCCUAAGCCUCCAUUGUGCUCAUUCAAGCUUUUAGCCAUUUUUGAGUGGUUUUAAGGAAGAAGAAGUGGGAAUCUUUGAAGCAUCAAGGAGUGGCCUUGGAUCCGAAGUUUGGGGAAAAUUUCUGAGCAUUUGAAGGUAUUCAGUCAUUCCUCUCCUUUAGAUCUUCUUUGGUUAUGAGUUUUGGGGCUUUUAAGCCAUGUCUAAGAUCAAUCUCGAGCUUGAGGUCCAGAUCUGAAGUUGCUACCUCAGAUCCAUGCUUGUUUUGGUUUAGAAUUCCGUAAAGUAUCAGCCAUUGAGUGGAUUUUGGAGCCUCUUGGUCUUAAACCCUAGUUCAUGGUGUAUUUUGCCUAGAUCUCCCUCUCUACACGUAAAGUUUGCAACUUUACGUGGGGGAUAGGCUUGGGAAGGGUAGAUCUACAGUUUGGAGUCCAUGCAUGACUCGAAAGUCCUCUGCAUGAAUGUAGAUCUGAAUGGACUCGGCGAGUCCUUCGAGUGGACUCGGCGAGUAGCUUGAAGACGAGGAGGAACUCGAUGAGUGGGAUGAACAGCUCGUCGAGUCGGAUGAAGAUGGGCAUGAACUUGACGAGUUGGAUGAAGAUUUCCUUGUGCUCGGCGAGUCUGCUCUUGGACUCAACGAGUCAGGUCGCAUAGUCCCAAACCCCUCGAGUUAAGAAUCGAGUCAGCGAGUCGAGCAAGGACUCGGUGAGUUGGACAGGACAGGGAUUGGGAAUCAGUAGACUCGGCGAGUCAGGGGCUGACUCGGCGAGUCAUGUCGCGAAUGGAAGGACCUGAGUAUGUGAACUCGGCGAGUCAGUAAGUGGACUCGGCGAGUAGGGUUGACCUGGAAGGUUGACUUUGACCAGGACUUUGACUUGGACCAGAGUUGACUUGGUUGACUGCCGGGGGUCAGUUAGACUAAGUGUUGCAUUGAUAUUGAUAGCUCAGGAAGCUAGUAGAGCAGGAGUUCAGUGAGUGGUCGGGCAGCAGCUAGUGGGAUCAUCAGCAAGUUCAGCNUUCAGCCAGUGCAGGUGAGUUUCCCUUUGUAUGAAUGGGUCUACGGCCACAAUGCCGGCCCAUGUAGUUAUGAGUAGAAGACCCGGGGGUUAGCCCUAGGCACAGUAUGCUAGUAUGAUAUUCGGGACGAGGUCCAAUGAUAGAGGGCGGGUGCCCAAGGAAUGGUUUAUGUGAUAGAUUAUACUUGUUGUCUGUGUGAUACUCGUAUGUUCCUGGUAGGGAGGUGAGUGUGGGCGAGGUCCCGUAUCUCACCAAUAGCAGAGUGUGGAUGGAGUUCCACAUCUCAGUAGCAGCAGAUCAGGGGCGAGGCCCAAGAUAGGGAAGGAGUGAGGGUGGGCUGGGCCCACACCUCACUAUCAGCAGGAGUAUGGACGGGGUUCCAUGACUCAUUAGUAGCAGGACAAGGGCGGGGACCAGAGAUAGGCGAGGCCUUAGGACCAGAUCCGUUAGUAUGUGUUUAGCUUAUGUGAUGUGAUAUGAUAUGUUUAUGUGCUACUAUAUGUUAGUGGGCGAGGCCCUGUGACAGGCGAGGCCCUGUGACAGGCGAGGCCUAAGUGAAACAGACCUGUUUCUAGAUACGAAUCUUAAUUAAACGACCUAAAAUUCACUUUUUCAAACAUAAGUGAUAGUUUAAAAAGGACUCGUUUGAAAAACUCUAACCUAACUGAUCAAAUCAACAGGUUUUUGUCGACAAGUGAUGAGAGGCGAAUGUGGAUUGAGAAGAUCGAUUCGGAGUUGUCUAAGUAUAGGAAUCAAUUAAUUUACUUGCAGCGAGACAAUUUAAAGCUUUUAAUACAACAUAACUUUUCUAUUUGAUUGCUAUAAGGCUUUAUUUUAACAUUACUCAAUUGCACCUUGAUUGUGGAAUUGGUGAGAAAAUUCAUAAGAUGAUCUUACCAUUUCUUGAAUUAAAGGAAGAUGAGAUAGACGUUGAUUGUUACAAAUGUGAAUCCAUAGUUUCGUUAGACGAAACUUCUGAAGCAUACAGGGUUGGACUAGAACGAAUUAAAUCAUACAUUAAGUCCAAAGACCACAAAAAUAUGUUAAAACAACUUUUGGAUGAAAACGAUAAGAAACAAAUCAAAUCCGAUACUAUACAGAAAUUCGACUCAUUGAGUGCCAAAUUGAGUUCAGAAAAUAAGAUAAAUGUUGAAAGCAUAUCUGAAUUCGAUGAGGACAAUGAUAUGAGCGAAAUUUCUGUAGAGGAUGUGGUGGAUUGCUUAGAGUUCAUUAAAAACAAACCUCAACCUGCGAAAGAUUUGAUCUUUGAAAAUUCGGUUGAAUUCGCAUGCAUUUCUCAAAAUAAACCAAAAAUAUUAAAAGCGAAAGCGACUGUUUUCCCUAAUUACCAAACUGUACCUAAUCAAGUGUUUUCCACUGAAGGACUGGACAAGAAUCAAACUGUCGAACUAACAUCCAUCGUCAACGAAGACAAUAAAGAUGGUUGUGACGAGUUCUUUUGGUCCGCUCCUAUAGAUAAUGCAAAUAAAACAAAAGGGUUUGUCUGAAAGAACCUCAUGGAGAGUGAAAGGAAGAUAUGUGGAAGAACCACUAAACAAUCGUUCCAGCUAUGAGGAAGGAAGUCCAAAUGGAACAAAGGAAAGUCCAAGCGAGCCUCAGUCAGCAAAGGACGAAUCUUAUGCAAGAAAACCGCAACCUAAAGUGAAUAUUCACAAGUCAACUGAGCAACUUUCGGAGCAAAAAAGUUUAAGAAAUCGGAGAUAUAAGAGUAAUCUCAAUGAGAGGAAGCAAUUUUGGCAAUCCCAAAGUUCCAACUAUGUUCGCAGAGAAAAUCUUCCAAUCAGAGUGCGAAAGCUCGUUCGCAUGCGAAUCCUAGUCAAUGUUCGCACUGUCAUUCUUGCAAACCAAAAAGGAACUUUGCUCAAAAACCGUCUCUUUCAAAGAAGCCCAUUGAGAAACCAAAAUCUCAUCCCACGAAAGCAUCACCCAAAGAUGUCAAGGGAAAGGGAAAGUUAGUCUCGGAUUCUGAAGCUUCAAUCAAGAAAUCGACUACUAACCCUAAGAAAAUUAAGAGGGAAUUCGUCAAGAAUCAAGUCAAAAAAAAAUCAAUCUGAUUCUAAAGAAACAAAAAUGAAAAAUAAUCAGAUAAAAGUUUUCACAAUAAUAAAGAAAGAUGAAACCACAUUUGUUAAACGAACAUAUAUGGUUGAUCUUGUAAUCACUUUUCCCUCUUCUGUAAAAGGCUCAUGAGGACCCAAUAAACUUUGGGAUCCUAAAUCUGCUUGAUUUUUGCAGGCAUUUCGUGAUGAAAAGUUUGACUCUAAAUGGUAUAUCGAGAGUGGUUGCUCACGUUACAUGACAUGGAGGAAGGAGGAACUGCAUGAGUUUCAAGCUCUCUAAGAUGGUAGAAAUGUAUAGUUUGGAAACAACUCGUUUGGGAAGAUCAAAGGCUAUGUGAUGAUAACUAACAGAGAUUUUUUGAUUCAUAAGGUGGCGUAUGAGGAAGGAUUACAACACAACCUAAUUAGUGUUUUACAACUAGUUGUUGGGACUGGCUUGAAAGUAUCCUUUGACGAUGAAGGAUCUGAGAUAGUAGAAAAGAAAACGAAAGUAGUUCUCUUAAAGUCACAACAAAAAUGGGAAAUGUAUCCUUUGAAUCUAAACCCAAUACGAGGGAAGCUUUCCAUAUGCUUACUUGCGAAAGCUCAUUCUGAUGAGAGCUGGUUGUGGCAUAGAAGACUUUCGCACCUCAACUUCAAAGACAUCAACAAGCUUGUUCUUGGCGAUCAUGUGAGAGGGCUUCCUCUCUUGAAAUAUGAUAAGGAUCAUUUGUGUAUAAUCUUUGAGAUGGGGAAGAAAAGUAGGAAAAUUCAUCCAACCAUUGUAAACACGAAAGCCAGUGAACCACUGGAACUACCCCAUAUCGACCUUUGUGGACCUUCUGCAAUUGAAAGCAUUGCUGGUAGUAAGUAUGUUCUUGUAAUAGUUGAUGAUUAUUCACGUUUCACUUGGGUGUAUUUUCUUAAACAGAAAUCUGAAGCUACACCAAAACUCAAGGAGUUCAUAAAGCAAACUGAGCUUCAACUGCAAAAGUUCGUUCGCAAUGUUCGCAACAACAAUGGGUUGGAAUUCAAGAAUCAAGAAUUCGAAGAAUUUUUAGCUGAAAAGGGAGUUUCACACAAUUUCUUUGCUCCCUAUUCGCCACAACAGAAUGAUGUAGUUGAAAGGAUAAACCGUUCUUUGUGUGAAGCUGCGAGAACCAAGCUAUCCUUCGCAUGUCUGCCUCUAUAUUUCUGGGCGGAUGCGAUUGCAACUGCUUGCUACACUCAAAAUUGAUCCAUCUUGAAUAAGCGAUUCUCUAUCAAUCCCUACAAAAUCAUAAAUAAUUGUAAACCUAAUAUCAAGUUUUCCAUGUAUUUGGUUACAUGUGUUUCAUUUUCAACUCCAAGGAACAAUGAAACAAUUUCGAUGAGAAAGCUGACGAAGGUAUACUUUUAGGAUAUUCGCUGACUUCCAAGGCAUAUAGGGUUCUCAACAAAAGUUCAAAGAAAAUAUAGGAAACCUACUAUGUUACCUUCGAUGACAAUUUCUUGAAGAGGAUUUAGUUCAAAGAGAAUCAAGCAGGGGAAAUAUUUCCUAAGCCAAGUCCAACCAAUAUUUCAUUCUCAAAUCUGUAUGACGAACUCAUGCUACUCUUCGAUGAGCCAGAGAAGGCUAUUACAUCUGAAGUGAAAGCAGCUGACAACAAGGUAGAUGAAUUGAAGAAGAUAAUCGAUGAUGCUGCAAAAGACAUGCACGAUCAGCUAUCAACUGUGAAAGUACAUCAAGGCACGAGUACUAUAUUCCAGGGGGAGAAUUCUGACUCCAAUGCAACUUCUCAGGGGGGGGGGGGCAAUCAGCACCUUAAGGAUACGAACAUUCCAUCACAUGGGGAGGGUUAUACUUCUUUUGACCCAAUGACUCACCUCCCACAAUAACUCAUGAGCCUCCAUUCGUAGGGAUUCCUCAACUCUUGAAGAAGAGGAUCUCUUGUCAUUCGAGGGGGAGAAUAAAGAUGUGAAUGACGAUUCGGAUAUGUAAUCAGAAUUCUAAGAAGUAAAUGCUGAAUUGGAUCCAUCCUAUGAUCCAAAUUAUCGUCCACUAACCAAAUGGACCAGAGAUCACCCGAAAAACCAAGUUAUAGGCGGAUCUUCUACAGGUGUUCUUACGAGAUCUCAUAUAAAAGCGAAACAAACUGCAUUAUUCUCCAAAGUUGAAUUUUGUAUGUUUAACUCAUUCAUUUCCAAGUUUGAACCAAAAACAAUUAAUGUUGCUCUCGAUCAUUCUGAUUGGGUGCAAGCGAUGCAAGAAGAACUCAACGAGUUUAAACGACACAAAGUUUGGAGGCUAAUUCCAACUCCACUAAAUGCACCGGUUGUAGGUUUAAAAUGGGUGUUUCGCAAUAAAAUGUAUAAGGAAGGGAAUGUUAUAAGAAACAAGGUGAGACUCGUAGUAUAGGGAUAUUGUUAGGAAGAAGCCAUCGACUAUGAAGAAACCUUUACACCUGUUGCAAGGUUGGAAUCCGUUCGCAUUUUCCUGGCAUACGCAACACACAAGAACAUCGAGGUGUUUCAGAUGGAUGUUAAAUGCACAUUCUUAAACGGGUAAUUAGAAGAGACUGUAUACGUGGAACAACCACCUGGGUUUGUAAAUGAGAAGUAUCCCAACCACUGCUACAUCUUAGAUAAGGCAAUCUAUGGUCUCAAGCAAGCUCCGAGAGCCUGGUAUGAAACACUUACUCGCUUCCUUAAAAUGUCCAAAUUUAAACAAGGUUCGGUUGACCUGUAACGCCCGCAGAUCCGGGCUAGUCAAUUUAGAAACAAUAAGCAUCAAAAAAUGAGUUUUUGAUGGAAGAUUCUUUAGAAGGAUUAAUCUUAACGAAGUUGUAGUAUAUGUUACAAGGGUUCAGUACAUAUAAAGAACGUCGAAAUCUGAGUUAUAACGAAGAAGUUAUGACCCGUCGAAGUUUUUCGGCAAAACCGACACGGCGCCGGGAGACGUAAAUAAUGAAUUUAUGAUAGAGGACUUUUUAGCCUUAGUAAUCUAAACAAAAGUCAUAGAAUAUGUUAAACUAAGAGCGUCCAUAAAAAUAACGCCCAAAUCUGACUUUGUAUGACGAAGUUAUGAAUUUUCUAACAUUUAGCAUAGCAAUGCACGACCUGAAACUCGAAUUUUAGUUCGAGCGGUUUUUGGCCUACGCAACCUAAAUGAGAGUUGAAUAUCUCAUUAAUAGGAGCUCAAUGGUAAAAAGGCAGAGGAAAACGGAGUCCGUAUGUAGAAGGUAUGAAUUUUACGCGGACGUUUAACAAUAUAAUCUCCUCCUACGGUUAAAUUUAAGAUCGGUCGAGAAUUAACCGACAGAGUCUAAAUGAAAGUUUUAGAUCUUGUUUUUACCUACGCGCAAACAUAACGAAUGUCCAGAGUAGAGCUUGUAUAUUAAAGAUAUGGACGAAACUUGGUCCCUACUCUUCGAGGGCGAUAAAUUCGGUACCGUUUUGUAAAUCUGAAAUAGAAUGAGAAUUAGCUGACGACGUCUAAAUGAAACUUGUAGUACUCGUAAAUACCAACGCGUGGAUAUAAAGAACGUCAAAAAUGGAGUUUGUAUGAAUGAUUUACAAAUUAUAAUAGCAUAUUUACGUAUUAAAAUAAAGUAUAAAUCAUAUAUACGUACACAUAUAUAUACACAAAUGUAUAUAUCAUUAGAAAAGUAUCGACGAUGCGGUUAUUAUAAGACUUGUGUUGAGUACUUUCGACAUUAGUUUAGUACAAAUAUCAUUAAAUCUAUUUAAAAUAGUAUUAUGGAGGCGUGUUUAGUCGUUUAUAUAACUAUAAGGUCAUUAAGUAAUUAUGGAGGGUAGUUUUUGUAAAUUCAAUUACUAUAAAUAAGAGGCUUGGGCUCUCAUAUUUCUUACACCAUUCUCUUGAUUCAGGAGUGUUUCUCUUCUUAUCUUCCGAGCAUUUCGGUCCCUUUUGAUUCGGCUUCUCUUUCAGUAGUUUAUGUAUAGUAAGGUGAGUGCUGAAGCGCUGCACGAAUCUUUCUUAGAAAGAUUUAGCGACGAAGUUCUGCCUUUGCAGAGCCCGACUCCUAGCUAAAACCCCCUUGUAAGUAAGUUAUGCUUACCCUAUUUUAAUAUAGCUUAUAUUUAAAAUUAGUAUUGUUAUUAUGCACUUAUAAUCAAUAUUUGAGCUAUUGUUAUAUAAGUUUCGUUAUAAUAUCUUUUUAACUACUCGCGGUAUGGGGAAUCUGGUUUAAAGGGCCGCAUAGGGUUUUUGGAUUUCAGAAGUGCUAUAUGCCAAAAUGGUCCUGCCCUCCAGUGCUUUAUGUCUGCCCCCUGUCUAUACACAGUGGUUGGAAAGUAUUUUUUAAACGCUUAUAUAAUAACAAUAAGACUAAUAAUUAGUCACGGUAAAUAUUAGACUAAAAUCUAGUGGUAAUAAUACUAGGUUUCGUCGAAGGAAAUUAUUUUAAAGUAAACGAAGCGCUGUCUGAGGAUCGAGUCACCACCUUAUCAAGUGCAUGCAUGGUCCCUCUCAUCUUACACAUAGAUAUGAAGUAUUUUAUAUAAACUACGUGCUAUGUGUGCAUAUUAUCUGUAUAAUUGUUAUCUAUGCUGGAUGAACAAUUUUAUAUAAGUUUUAUAUGAUUUAAACUGUAUAUGUAUUUAUAUCUACAUAAUAUGGUGUGUAAAACAUGGGUAGAUGAAAUAUGAGUUGGAUUAUGAGUUGAGAGGUGAUAUAGACCAUAAGGUAAGAGUGAGAGGUGGACGAUGUGAGAAGCCUUGUUCCCAAAUGUUGGCCCUGUCAUUUAGCAGAGUAUGGAUGACAAGCACGGACUAUUCUAGACAGUCCAGUGGAACACUAGCAGGCUCACAACCUGUAGGUGUUGGGAACAAUGUGUUCACCUGGUGUACUCUAAACCUUGGCGAUCAUGCAGAUCGACUUGAUGCCUAAACCCUGGUGACUAUGUAGACUUAGUGCCUAAACCUUGGCGAUCGUGCAGACUUGAUGCCUAAACCCUGGUGACUAUGAAAACUUAGUGCCUAAACCUUGGUGAUCAUGCAGACUUUAUGCCUAAACCCUGGUGACUAUGCAGACUUGGUACCUAAACCUUGGCGAUCAUGCAGACUUGAUGCCGAAACCUUGGUGACCAUGCAGACUUGGUGCUAAUCCCUGGCGAGUAUUCAGACUUAGUGUCUAUUGUGUAAACCGUGGCAACGAUGGAGUUCAUGCCGAUUCCUUAGGAUGAUCCUUAGGAAUAAAUGAACGAGGAAUAGCUGAUUCUUAGGGUAUAAGAGUAAAAACGAUAAUGGGGAUGGGUAAUUGGGUUGAUUGGUUGAUGUUUAAACAUAAUAAUUAUAUUAUUGUGGGUUGAAAACCCUAUGUCAUCACUAGGUUUCCCAACCUAACCCACUCAGUUUAUUUAAUCACAAGUGUUGAUAUGAAGUCACAUUACACUGAGAGAUUAAGGAGAUAUAAAUCACUAGUGAUAAUGAAUGUAAGUUAUGUUUAUGCUUAUGUUUCUGUAUUGACAAUGACAUCCCAAAUGUUUUAAAAUGAAUAAAAAUACUUUUCUUCGGAAAUGCUUUGAUAACGUAUUUAUCAUGUUUUACUGGGAACAAAUUCCGCAACAUUUUUAUUAAAAGAGGUACUCUAAUUUUUAUAAAGCAUAAACAAAAUCGGUCUUUUCUGGCCGUGAAAAUGGGGAUGUCACAUGACCCAACCUUCUUUCGCAAGAAAGAGGGUGAACACCAAAUUUAUGUUGAUGAUAUCAUUUUCGGUUCUACGAAUCCUAGCUUAACAGUUGAUUUCCGAAAGUUGAUGGAAACUAAAUUUGAGAUGAGCUCCAUGGGUCUAAUUAACUUUUUCCUUGGAUUUAAUAUAAGAUAGGGACCGGAAGGCAUCUUAAUAAAUCAGGAAGCAUAUACGAAGACUUUGCUCUCUAAGUUUGGUAUGAUGGGAGACUCUAAAGUGAAGGUUCCAAUGGCAUUCGAAACGAAACUAACACCAUCUCUGGAAAAACCUGCUGCUGAUAUAACUCUUUAUCGUCAGAUGAUAGGGUCGUUAAUGUAUCUAACAACUAGUAGACCAGACAUUAUGUUUUCUGUUUGUUAUUGUGCUAGGUUCUAAGAAAAUCCUCGCGAACCUCACAUGGUGACCAUUAAUAGCAUUUUCAGGUACUUGAAAUGAACCUCAUCACUUGACAUUUGGUAUCCUACAAAACCAUGCUUCUUCGUACAAGCAUUUUCGGAUGCUGAUCUUGGGGGAUGCAGAUUAGAUAGAAAAAGCACAACUAGAGGAUGUCAAUUUGUCAAUGGAAAGCUUGUUAGUUAUGAAUCUAAGAAACAAACAUGUGUGUCAUUGUCAACAGCUGAAGCUGAAUAUAUAGAUGCUGCCUCAUGUACAUCUCAAGUCGUUUGGAUUCAAAGUCAGCUUCGUAAGUAUGACUUAAGAAUGAAAUGAAUCACACUAUAUUGUGACUCUGAAAGUGCCAUUCACAUUUGUCACAACCCAGUGCAACACUCAAAGACAAAACACAUAGCACUGAGGUAUCAUUUCAUCAAGGAUCACGUAGAAGACAGCAACGUUGAAAUUCAUUUCGUCAGAUCCUCUGAUGAAUUGGAUGACAUAUUCACAAAGGCAUUGCCUGAAACAACCUUCAAUAGGAUCCUUCAAGGCCUAUGAAUGAUGGAAGCUGAAUCUGUUCCAAAAACACUUUCGCACACAUAAUGAUUGCAUUGCGAAUAGGUGCGAACGUUCGCAGUAGUUCGUAGUCCACUAUUCAUUCGCAGUCUACUUUAACACUGCGAAUCGGUGCGAGCGUUUGUAGUAGUUCGCAGUCUAUUGUUCAUUUGUGGUUCAGAUUUUUGAAAUAUCCUUUUGUACUUUGUGUAUAUUAUUACUUAGUUUUUCAAUCUUUUAUGUUUUAAUUAUUUUUCAGAAAAUCUCAAAAAACAAAAAUAUUUUAUUUGUGUUUGUUUUUUUUUUCCGCAAAUCUCAAAACAAUCAAAAAUAUUUUAAGAAGAUCAUGGAGGCACAAAUUCGUAUCUUAUAUUCAUAUGAUGGGGCAGGUAUAAGGUUCUCUAUAUCUGUAUUAGCUAGGUAUCCCUAGAAGCAUGCUGUUGGAUGUUGUCCAAAGCCUUAAUAGACUCUAUGUGAAGCCUUAAUGAAUCAAGUCUACCAUUCAUUUCUUCCCAAACAGGCUGUUACAAUCACAUUAUUCAUGAGCUACCUCACUCUUCUCAUCUUGAGUUAAGAGUUAUCUGCUUUUCCACUCUCGUAUAGCAGAGGUACAGUCGCUUCUUUGGAACCACCUUCUCAUUUCUCCAUUUGCUUUCGCACUCAUAAAUGUAACCCUUGAGACUCUCAGCAAUACCACUGAGGUUUAUGGUUACACAACUUCUGAGUUCUUGAUCUUAGCGUCAUUCACCACGAACUGAGUGAAACCCAAAAUCCAACACACUUACAUGAAUUGACGGUGAACAACUAAAUGUUCUAGAUUUUCACCAUGGAAUUAACGAAAGCCACUUUCGUGUUCUGUACCAAGGAAUCUCUUUAAUGUUACGAGAUCUUUAUGGAGUGUUCCUAUACCAAGUCACUUCUUCCCAUAAGAUCCAAUUUUUUUGAGAUUUUAAACUUUCGUCUAGUCACUAAAUAAUUCCAAGCCUACUCGUUCAACUAACUACACUGGUCACACAACUACUUCAUCCGACAUCCAUACUUAUAUUAAGUUUAGUGUUUGGUUGGAGAUUUAGCCACCCAUUUAACCAAAUUAAAAGAUGCCUUUCAAUGUUUCUUAUCAAACAUCUGAUCGUACUUCAAUGGGAAACCACACAGACAUUUCUUAGUCUCUCUUGACUUCGAAGUUAGUGAUCUAUUCCCGGGAUCAACAGUUUUGUGUCUUGAUAUAGACAUCACGAAAUUCCUUAGAUAUAUUUUGAUUUAUUUCUUUAUCUUUGACACUCUUGCACGAAGAUAAUUGAGAUCUUCCAAAAGUCUUGUUCGUGGUUCUUAAUGUUACUUUUAGGUUUGCGGUUUAACCCAUGUUUCCUAAAACGAACGUUCAUGAUGGAUGGGUCAAAGAAUGUUUAACUGUGAAACGUAGAUGCUGACGCAAGAAUUCCUGAUGAUAAGAAUUCAAAAAGGCUCAUGAAAAUUUGAACGACCAGCUACUUUUUUGUCGUAUGAUACACGGGUAUGGCAUCUACAGUUCUCAAGUCGUACUUUUUCAGGCGACAUUUCAGAAAAUGAUGCAUUCUCUCUCUGGAUUUUUUCACAAAUCGAGUCGUAUAUAAAGAUUUUGACGAAUCUUCUCUCAUUAUCACUUACAAAAUCUUCUCAAGAGAUUUCUGGUGAUUCAAACUUCUACUGUUCAUCUUCUUCACUCUCAAGCAUCAACAAUGGCAGGUUCUUUAGAAAAUAUUUCCACUCAAGAUCAAACAGUUCAUUCAUCACUACUGGCUGUCAAACAAAAUCAGAAAUUGGUGUUUGAUCUCGAUCCUUGCAGGUACGACGCCUUCAUGAUUCCUAUAGUCGAGUGUUUGAAAUACUCUAUUUUGACCAUUAUGCUCUCCAAGAUGGAGAAUGUCCCAUUAUCACUUCUCUCUAAAGCUUACUCAUCAGCUCUUUAUAUCAAGGAAGAACAAAGAAUCAAGUUUGAAAUCCACAACAGUACCACCUCCAUCACCAAAUAUCGCUUCUGUUCUCUUCUAGGGCUUCCUCAAACAGAAGUUAUGAUUAACCCAGAAAUGGUUACUAGUGCUACUCUCAUUGAGAUGUUCUACCAGAUGGGUUACAAGGAAACCUUAACCGACGUCUCGAAGUUCUAGAAACCCAACUUGCCUCCACAGUGGAAUAGUCUAUUCACUUUGCUUUUCAAGGGUUUUUUUUGAAAGGGUGACGAGGUCAGAUUGUGCAAGCAAGCUAUUCAUGGCGAUUCUCUACGGCCUCUACACAGGUUCUAAUCUUGACUAUGGCUCUGUUCUUUAGGCUCAAGUAAUUCAGAGCACACUCUCUACUACACGUCACAGUGAAAUCUCCUGUGCACGUUUUUGUACUAUCAUUGUCGAAAGGGCCAUUGACCAGCUCCAAAUCCCACUGAUGUAAGAUGCAUUGAUGGCAUCUAUCUCCACGUUUCACACCACUGGCAUCAUCGUCUCUGACAUUUCGAAGUUUUCUUUCAUUGGCUCUAUUCCGGAAGCCAUGUUUCAUGAUGUUCCAUCUUCUAGCAAAAUCCUGUAGGGCUAUAGGAAAUUGGCUCCAUCUGGGGCUCGUCCUUUAACCCUUGAAAUGUAAACAAUAAUCGCUGAGGUAGAUAAACCCACGAAAGGGGAAAGGGUGCGAAGAGGGGAGAAAAGAAAUAUGCUAAUAAAGAAGGACCUUCUGGGCAUGUGAACACACCAAAGAAGCAAAAAGCAAAAACCGCUUCUUCUACUGCUGCUCCAAAAAGGCGGAAGCAGCCUGUUCGCAAGAAAGACCCCCACACGAAGUGAAAGAGAAGAUGAGUCUGAUACUCAGUCCGAUAUUCGCAUAGAGGAGGAUCAUCCCGUUUGCAAUGAGGAAGUUCGCAAUGAGGAUGUUCGCAAUGAGGAGGGUGACAACACUCACACUAAGGAACCGAAUCACAUUCCUGAGGUAACUCUAACUUUUAAUGAUUCUGUUCCUUCUCCUCCUCCCUCACCUAAAACCACUUCAAUCCCAAUUAUUAUUAUGCCAUGCCCUUCACCAGUUUCCUCACAACAACAAACAUGUAUUCCUCUUUCUACUCCUUUGUUCACAGAUUCUACUGUCCCACCAAGCACCUCCACUGAACCUCUUGUUUCGGUCAACAUAUCUAAUACGGGGGCUAAAAGAUCAGGUUUCUCAACCCAUGUCUUACUCUAAUUUCCCCCAUUUUCCAAGAUGAUCCAGAUAUGGUCUUUGGGGAUGAUGAUGAUACUGAUGAAGCUCUCGGAGGAUUCACCUAUAGUCCAUUCCAAAUUAGGAUUGAAAGUAAGGACGAGCCAUCUGCUACGAAAGAGUAACUGAAGUCCAUGCAUGAAAAGAUAGACCAAUUGCUUCUUGCUUCCAAGGCAUCAUGUUCUGAUGCUUAUUCUAAAGCAUCAGUUGAGUCACUAUUUGAACGGGUAACGAAAGCGCAUGCGGCCAAUACAGAAAAGAUGAAUAAGGCUAUUGGUGAUUCUGCUGAAGUUUGCAAGCUGACGACCGAAAAAGUCGAUAAACUAAUUUUUGAGACCACUUCGUUCACGGAGAACUUUCAGACAACCUUCAACAACAAUACAAAGAUUGUCAAUGAGUCUAUGCAAAAUAUGGGUUCUCUCUUCAAAAAUGAGAAGGCUAAGUUACAAGAGAUUCGCACAGCUCUCCAGUCUGAUCACAAAGCAUUUCAAACAUCCAUCUAUUCUCAGAUUUGCAACCUUCAAAAAGAAUUGGUAAUGGAGAGUAAAAUUAUGGACUCUUUUGCCAUCAAAACUGAACGAGUGAAGGUUCUCUCAGUUAAGCUCGAAAAUGCUAAGAAAAACGUUCAAGAUUUGCUCACUGAGAGGUCUAUAACAAAAAGCUGUAUAUCUGAUAUUGCAAGCUUACUCUCAUAUGUCAUUGAAACAAGAGACUACAUGAUCACCAUGUCUAUCCGGAAGCAUCUAAAUGAGAAGUUAAGGCCAGUGUUCGCAAAGCUUCACAAACUGCAGGGUGUUUCAGAUGAAACCUUUGUUCUAAGACAAGGGGUAGAAGGUGGGUCAACUGUUAUAACAAGAAAAGAAGGUCCUAAAGCUCCAACUAAUCCAGUUGUCAAACAAGAACCUACGGGCAAGGAAAAACUGUUUGAAGAUGAACCCAUCGUUGACAAUAGUGAAGAUGAAGAGGAGCUAGAUGAAGAUGAGCUCAAAAGACGAAAGGUCCAUGAAUCCGAAUUGGAUGAGAACAACUAAAUCAUUUGUGAAGCUGAUGAAAAAGAAAGGGAUGAUAAAGAAGCUUAAGCCAUACUUCAGAGCAGAAAGAUUUUGUUUCCUAUGUGGACCUUGAAACGUAUCCAUCAUGAUGCUGUUGAUCUUCCCAGCCAGUAUUGGUUAGAGCCAGUUGUGUCGUUUGAUCUUCAAAACACACAAGAUUCCUAACUGGAUAUACCAAUCACUCCAAAGGCUUUCAGGUUUCGUGCUUUUGUGAAUAUCGUGAAAGCUCCAAUCAUAGACAGUGGAGUAGACCAUAUGUAAUUUUCUUUCUACCUAAAGCACAUGAAGCCCCAAUAUGAAACUUGGAGUGCUAGCAAAUUAACUGGUGUGAAAGUCAUAGGGUUGAUUGAGACUGAUAGUUUUCCCAAUGCAAAGUUUAAAGUUGUGAGAGGUUCGACGAGUCAGGUCUACAAAUUCACACUUGCAAAUUUGCCUUGUCUGAAUCCUUAUGACUGGAUCAUACUCUAUAAUAUGAUGUUAAAGGAGAAGGAGAAGUACGAAUCUGUCAUGUCCCAUCUCGAAAUCAUGUUACAGUCCUAUAUUCAAGAGGUUGGAGAGAUGGAUGUCGAGAUAGUUGUGGUCCUGCGAAAGAAACCUUCUACUAUUCCUAAAGAAGCUCCGAAGGAUUUUGAAAAGUUGAAGCCAGAAAAGAUUUAUAAAGAAGGAUGGUUCGUGGUGUAUCAGUCAAGUGAACGAACUGGAGCUGACUUUCACAAGUUUUGCUUCUUUCUUUCUGACAAACAUCUGAACACUACUUCUUUAAUUGAAUUUAUUUUGGACUUGCUGACAAAGUUCAAGGGAAAUAGUAAGGAGGAUCUCAAGUGCUUCUCUGACAUGAUCUUAUGGUACAUUCGCAUUCGCAAGCUGCUGGUGAGCUUCUUUUCAAAAAUUUAUGAAGUACAGAAGCGAAUUCAAGGAUAAUGGACUUUUGCCUCAAUUAAUGCAAAAGGGGAGAUUGUUGAAGAUUUUAUGUUGCGUCAUUGGGCCCUUUUGUAUAUGUCUAUUAUGAAAACGAGUUGGUCCUGUCCUCCUGUAUUUUAUUAUAGGGUUAGAGUAUUUAUGGUGUAUGCAUGCAUCUUAUUUUUGUUAACUCUGAUAAUUAUGCUGUAACCCUAAUAGCACCUCUAUAGUUGAAAUUCUUCAUCGAGUUCUUCUGAGGCAUGACAUUUUAUCAUUUGACAUUCUUGAUUCAUCAUUGUGUUAUUUCUUUUACUUGUUCUGAAUCUGAUCGAUCCUUAAGGAGUUUAAUCCUAACACUAUUCUUAUAGCAUGCACACAAUGUCUUUCCUUAGUCAUCAUUUUUGUGAAUAGAUCACCUGGAUUUUCUUCUGAUGAUACUCGCUUCACAAUAAGAACUCCAUCCUCAACUCCGUCUCGAAUGUAAUGAAACUUCUACUUUAUAUGCCUUGACCUUCCGUGACCCUUAUGUUCUUUAUUCAGAUCGACUAUACCUUCAUUAUCACAAAAUAUAUCCACGGGAUCUUUAUUGCUCGGAACAACCACAAGAUCACCAAUGAAGUUCUUGACUCAGGUAGAUUCCUUGGAUGCCUCGCUAGCAAAAAUAUAUUUUGACUCGCAGGUAGAGCCUGCCACCAUUUCGUGUUUGGAACUUUUCCAUGUCACCGCACAACCAAAAAAUACAAAUACCCUUUCCGGACUGUGACUUUGAAUCAUUUCUAUCCAUUUUGAAACUUGCAUCAGUGUAGCCUUUCACAACCAACUCUUAUUCACCUCCAUACACAAGCAAAAUAUCUUUUGUAUUUCUCAAAUACUUAAGAAUGUUCUUAAAAACCUUUUAAUGACCUAGCCUCGGGCUUUUGUAACAUUCCGUUUAAAAAAACUAAUUAAAUAAAAAAGUAAAUAAAUAAUUAACCCUAAACCCGAGAUGGAUAUUAUAUUUCAUUGUAGCCCUAAAUUAGUAAUAACUUAGCAGGUUGUUGGUUUUUGGGGAGUUAAAUGUCAUAAUUGGGAUUUUGGGGGUUAAAGUGUAAAUUCCGGAUUGGUUUUGUAAAGAAUUCUAAAGGCUGAGGGCAAUUUGGUAGAUUAUGGAUUGAAGUUGAAAAGAAUUGAUAGGGAGGGGCUAGAUGUGUAAUUAUGAGUUUAGUUAUUAUAUGGAGGGGCAUAAACCCAUCACUUUCCUUCAUUCAAACUCUAACCCUAAAGCCUUUAUAUAGCCACCACCUUAUUUCCUUACCUCCAGCCGCCGCUAUCAACUUCGACCACCUAGCACCAUCGAACGUCCACCGGCGGCCUUUGUUGCCGGAGAUAACCAAGACCUACAUAAAACCGGGAGACUUCGCAUCAAUUAGAGAUCGGAGGAUCAAAUUCGAUGUCAUGGUUUUCGUUGCUUCCAUUCUCAACUGCAUCUUCUUCUCUGUUACUCGGUUGCUACGCCCCAGCCCCCGUUCCGUCGUCGCCGUAGCUCUGAGUGGCUGCCUUUUGUUAUGCUCCGGAUGCCGCCUACCACCCGAAGUGGCUGAGACAGGUGUGUUUUUUUAUGAUAGAAAUUGUGUUUGUGUGUGUUUUUGCUUUACCGUGAAGUGUGUGUGGGUGUGAUGUUGGCCGGAGAGCUAGGCGGACCACCAUGGCAGCCAACAAUGGUGGAUGCGACUAUGGUGUCCUCUUUUGCCGCCACCAACCACCAUGAGGGGUGGUUGUUGUGUGUUUUGGUAUGUGUGUAUGAGCGUAUUUUAUGAGUAUGAUAUUGUAUAGACUUUGCUUGGCCGGGAAACCGAAGAAAAACGCAUCACCACCACCGUGAGGUGGUGGUUACCACUAUGGUGUCUUCUUUUACCGUCACCAACCAACGUAGGGGUGGCUAUGUGUGUGUGUUUUGGUGUGUAUGUUAACAUAUUUUAUGAGUAUGAUAUUGUAUGGACUUUGUUUGGUCGGGAAACCAAAGAAAAAACCCAUCACCACCACCGUGAGGUGGUGGCUGCCACCUUCUGUGGCCGUGAACUGUCAUCGACCACCACCGGUUGAGGUGGCAAUGGGUGGUGCCCAACCUAGUGAAACACUAAUUAAACAAAAAACUUAACCUUGGACCUAAUUGGCAUCUUUUGGGGUUGGAAACCCUAAUUAGGGUUUAUGAAACCCUAAUCUGGGAGACUUUUGUUUGGGACUUGCCGGGACCUGCGUUUUGGAACGUUGGAUUGGAGUUAUGAAUUAUGUCUGACCUCAUUGUAUGUUUGACCUGAUAAAGUGAUUAAGUGAUCUUACCUAACCCUAAUCGUCAUUUUAUGCGACUACCUAAUUUUGUUUGGGCUUCGAGUUAGGCCUUUCUUUUGGGCUUAUGUGUUUAGGUUCUUGUUGGGACAUCUGAGAAGAAGUGUAUGGACUAGGAUAUUUGGAUGGGCUUUAGGGUAAUCCCUAUGUAAGGGAUUGGGCCUAAUUUGGAAAAGUGGGCCAUAGUUAGGCCUUGGUUGAUUAUUUGGCUUUUCGGCCUUCAGAGUGUGAGUUUGGGCCUUAGUCUUGGACCAAGCUAGGUUAGGGUAAAAUGGUCUUUUUAUCCCAAGUAUGAAUUUAUGGUCAUGCGUAGGAACCCAAGUAUUAAUUUGGUGUUGUUUUGAUGUUGAUAGUUCAGAGAUUUGUCAGCUAGUAGCUAGAGAUUUAGCUGCGGAACUUCAGCAGUUUGAGGUGAGUUUCCUCACUGGGGUUAGCGGGUCGAAGGCACCAAAGCCGUCCUAUAUUUAUGCUAUGUUAAUAUCCUAGCUAUCUUCGUGACUCUUGCAUGUGUAUGUGUUUAUAUGCUUUCCGGGCUAAGGUAUGAUGACCGGGCGGGGCCCGAUGACUGUUUCCAUGUUAUGUAUCUAUGUUGCAUGCGUAUGUGCUUAAUCGAUAUAUGUUAUGCGAGUGUGGGCGGGGCCCACAUCUCAUUAUUAUCUGAGUGUGGGCGGGGCCCAUAUCUCAUUAUUAUCUGAGUGUGGACGGGGCCCAUAUCUCAUUGAGUGGGGCCCGUUAUUCGAGUGUUGGUGAGAUCUGUAUCUCACCGUUAUUUGAGUGUGGGCGGGGCCCACAUCUCACUGUUAUUCGAGUGUGGGCGGGGCCCGUUUCUUAUCAUUGCAUUAUAUGUAUGGUAUGUGAUAUCUUGGGGAACUUACUAAGCUUUUUGCUUAUGAUCUUCAAUUUAUGUUUCAGGUACUUCAGUUUUCAAAAGGAAGAGCUCGGGUUGACUGAAUGGCAUGCACACUUAUUGUUAUGCAUUUGACUUGUUCUUGGGUUUAUACUCUAAUUAUAAUGUUUCUGUUUUAUUUAAACGAGUAACUAAUGACCCUUCUUUUAUAAAUUAAAAGAAAUUUUAUGCCAAUAUCUUUGGGGACGUUACAAGUUGGUAUCAGAGUUGGGGCACGGGUUGAUGUAUUCGACGGCGACGUCGAACCCUAUAGUUGGGGGUGAUGGUGGGUUGCGCUUGAUCCGACAUUGACUUGGAAGGAGAACGAAUCAUUCCUUAUAAUGAGUGUGGAUACCUUCCUUAUCACAACUCGUUUUAAAGCCGCGAGGGAAGUAGAUCCCAUAAGAACUCUGCAGUUCAGCGAGCCUGGGUGAGAGCAAUCCAAGGAUGGGUGACCCCCUGGGAUGUUUUCGUGCCGCGAGCCCAAAGCAGACAAUAUUAUGAUACGUUCCAAAGGGGGAUGUUACAGUUUUCCUGAUAUAGACUCACCAUACUCAAAGCAUAUGAGACACUAGGAUUAGUACAUGUCAUAGUAUAUAUGAUCGAUCCUAUAGCUGAAGCAUAAACUCAUUCUUUCUUGUUCAUUAUUAAAACUAGGAUAUUGAGACUUACUCAAUUUUAUACUAUCAUGAAUUAGAACUUUUCCUUUCUUGAAAUUUUCAUAUUGAAUCUUUUCAAUACUUUAUCCAUAUAGGUACUUUGACUAAGUCCUAUUGAACGUCUAAAUCUAUCUUUAUAGAUACUUAUACCAAGUAUGUAUGUUUCUUCACCCAAGUCCUUCAUAGAUAAAUAUUUACCGAGUCAAGUUUAACACCUUUCAAAUCAUUGAUAUUGUUUCCUAUAAGUAGUAUGUCAUCCACAUACAAAACUAGGAAAACAAGGGUACUCCCACUAGCUUUGACAUAUACAAAGGACACACCCGAACUUCCAGAAAAACCAUACUCUUCGACCUUUUCAUAGAAGCACAGAUUCCAGCUUCGUGAUUUCUGAUUAAGUACACAGAUGGACCUUUCAAGCCUGGUGGACAUCCCCAUUUUUACGGCCAGAAAAGACCGAUUUUGUCUACGCUUUAUAAAAACCAGAGUACCUUUUUUAGUGAAUCCUUACAACGAGACUAUCCAUACUCUCGGACCUUAAAUUUUACCUCUUACUUAACCCAUACUCUCGGAUCUAAUUCAUGCUCUCAGAUCAAUAAUUGUGCCCAUUCCAUAAUCUCGGAUUAGGGACAAGUGUCUAUGUGUAAAUCCAUUUUCCCGGAUUAACGAUGAAUAACUAUGUCCUAUCCAUACUCCCGGACAGAGGACGACUCACUAUGUCUUAAUCCAUACUCCCGGACUAAGGACAACUGACUAUGUCUUAAUCUAUACUCCCAGAUUAAUGACAGUUGACUAUGACCAAUCCGUACUCUCGGACUAAGGACAAUGACUAUGUCUAAUCCAUGCUCUCGGAUCAAGGACAUAUACUAAAGUUCUAUUCUUUGAGUAUAACUCACUCGUAUUCAUAAGAAAAUACUACCCAAUAUUCCUCAUAAUUAAUUUAGAUUUACUCUUUAUCCUAAAUCUUCUUAUAUAAUCAGGUAUGUUCUUUAACACGUAUUCUAGGCAACAUCAAUUAACUUCCACGUAAACAUAUAAUUAAUACUUCAGUCAAUACUUGUAUUAAUAUCAUGUUCAAGAAAGGGACUAUGUACUCACCUGAUAAGGUGGUGACUCGGUACUCGGACGACACUUCGUUUACUUUAAAAAAAACUCCUUUGGCAAAACCUAGUAUCAUUGCCGCUAGAGUUUAGUCUAAUGCUCGAUGAGACUAAUUAAUAGUCUAACUAUUAUUACUAUUAUAUAAGCGUUAACACAAUACUUUUCACCCACUAUAUAUAGACAGGGCCAGAAAUGGAACAUCGGAGGGCAGGAUCAUUUUGGCAUAUAGCACUUUUGAAAUCCAGAAACCCAAGCGGCCCUCCAAACCAGAUUCCCCGUACCUCGAGUGGUUAAAAAGAUAUUAUAAGGACACUUAUAUGAUUCAUAAUAAUAGCCCAAAUAUUUAUUAUAAGGUCCUAAUAACAUUACUAUAUUUAAAAUAGCAUAGGCAUGUCUUACCUACGAGGGGGUUUAGCUAGAAGCCGGGCUCUGUAGGGGCAGAACUUCCGAAUCGAAAGCUCUUCUUCUCGGAGCCGUCGAGCGUUCUAGGGCUUUCCUCUAGCGUUAGGGGAGUUUUGGGAGGUUUAGAGAGAGUGUAGAUAGAUGAAAGAAUGGGAAAGGUGUGAAGAAAAUAAGGGUGGGAGAGGUUCUAUUUAUAAGGUGUAAUAUGGCCGAACUUGGUGCCACAUGUUACCAUUUGGUGGAAAGACUUGGGGAGAAAGCAAUGGCCAAGAUUGUGUCAUGUCACCCAUUUUCGCACAACACACUUCCGACUUCUAAAAUCCAUAACUUUUGCAUACAAGCUCCCUUUCUGACGUUCUUUAAAUCCACGCGUAGGUAAAAAAAAUAAGAUCUACAACUUUCAUUUUGACUCCGUUGGCUGAUUCUCGACCGAUCUUAUAUUUAACAGUAUGAGGAGAUUAUAUUGCUAAAUGACCGCGAGAAAUUCGUAACUCCUUCAUACGGACUCCGUUUUUGUCUGUCUUUUAUCGUUGAGUUCCUAUUAAUGAGAUAUUCAACUCUCAUUUAGGUCACGUAGGCCCAAAACCGCUCGAUCUAAAAUUCGAGUUUCGGGUCGUGCACUGCUAUGCCAAAUCUUAGAAAAUUCAUAACUUCUACAUACGAAGUCAGAUUUGGGCGUUGUUUUUAUGCACAUUCUCGGUUUAACGUAUACUACAACUCUUUUUUAGAUCACUAAGGCCAAAAAGUCCUCUAUCGUAAAUUCACUAUUUAUGUCUCCCGGUGCCGUGCCGGUUUUGUCGUAAAACUUCGACGAGCCAUAACUUCUUUGUUAUAACUCGGAUUUUGGCGUUCUUUAUAUGUAAGGAACCCUUGUAACACAUACUACUACUUGGUUAAGAUUACUCCUUCUAAAUAAUAUUCCAUAAAAAACUCAUUUUUGAUGCUUAUUGUCUCUAAAUUGACUAGCCCAAAUCUGCGGGCGUUACAGUUAUCUCCCCCUUAGGAUGAUUACGUCCUGGAAUCAUCAACGAAACAGGGUUGUAUAAUGACUCUGUACGUUAUCUAUUCAUCAUAGGGAAUAAUCGUAACUUCUAUGUUUCUUCGAAUGUGUAUCUAACUCUUGGUCUUGUUGACUGCAAGUGGUGCUUAAUCUUGCACCCGUUCUCUAUGUCUUGUUACACUUUCAAUCAUGAACUUCAUGUCACAAACUUGCUCUUUAUCAGAGACUCUAUCUUCUUCUUAACAAACUUAAGAUAAGUUUAUUUGAUUUCCACGAUAGACCGAUGCGUCACGUUCUAAUGAACUCUCAUCGUAUGUUGCAACGCUCAGCCUCAGGUCUCUUAGAGUCAAAUUCCAGAAUGGAAUAUACUUUCCUUCAUGUUCUAAUGUGAUAUAAUCACAUUUUAACAUGUAGCAUUUCUAGCUACCAAUUUCUUUAACUAGCGCGAUACUUCUAUUGACCUCUUCGAUUAUUCUUUACUUCAAUCUUCUGGCUUAAGUUGGAUGCUAUAUCGAACUUGGUUCUCUGAACCACGUAACAUACUCAUCAUAGUCGGACUCAAUUUGAUAUGACCACUAGGGUCGAAACAACAAUCAUAUUGUUAAUCAUUACCGAAAACAUGGUAACGACAUACUUGAAUACAAUGAAAUUAAUUACUAGCUUCUUGGUAACCUUGUGACUUUCCAUGAUCCAAGUGCCAGUCCUGUGCUUCCGGUAGUAUAGGCCUUUACAACCAUUCACACCUACUCAUACUCGUCCCAAGUAUUGUCUCGCAGUUUUCCAAGUCAUCAUACAAGAAAAUCACAUAACAACCUAACACAUCAGAUAGUAAAAUGAAGGUUUUAUAUUAUUCCUUGAAAUGAUUACAUGGGUGUUCAAGUUCACCGUAGACUAUGCCUCUAAUAGGCUACACCUUAAGAUACUAUAACUUGAUCUUCAGAUAUCCAUCCUCACUCUUGAUUCCUUACAUUUCCAGCUGCUUCGUCUAGGAUCAUAUGAAAUGGUCUUGCCUUCGGUCUUGUUGGCACAUUUGGCUUUGCGGCUUCUUCUCUCAUUGGGCAGUUUUUCUUGUAGUGUCCUUCUUCACCACACCUAAAGCAGACUUAUCUCUUGGUUGUGCAUUCGCAGGCAUAAUGACCAGUCUUCCCGCAUUUGAAGCAGGUAAUCUCUUUAGAGCGUCUCCCAAUGCUCUUCCUUCUACACUUGUCACACCAUUGUGCUCCUUCUCUAGACUUUGUAAAUUUUCUCUUCUGGUCAGACCUUGUGGAUCCUUCAAACUUUCUCUUAUCGCCAACUUCAACCUUGCUGGCGGCUCUUCCCUUAAUCAUAUCUUCAACAGACUUGGCAUCCCAGAUAGCUGCCUCUAGAGUAGGUGCUUGGCAUAUCGGCACCGCAUACUCCCAGGGAAGUCCCUUUGCGUACUUGUCGACUUUUGUUAGCUAGUCUGGGACAAGGCGCAAAUCAAACUCCAUUUUGUCCGUGAAGUUGUUGGUGUAUUCAUUGAUGGACAUGCUCCCUUUCUUCAAAGUUAGGAAUUGGUUCUCUAGCUCGAGCAGGUUUUGGGUUGAGUAAUACUUGCGCUUGAAAUGCACCAAAAACUCUGCCCAAGUUAGUUGCAGGAACUCAUUGUGGCUUAGAGUCUUCCCCAGGGUGUUCCACCAGCACUCAGUGCCUCCUCGGAACUGACGUACUGCAAAUGUGGUCUUUAACUUGCCUCUGCAACCACACAUCAUGAAGGCCAACUCCAUCUCUGAGAUCCAAUUCAUAACUCUGAUCGGAUCUUCCUUUCCAGUGAAACUCGAUGGCUUGCAAGUUAGAAAAUCCUUGUACUUGCAUCCAUUCCUCUCGUCUCCGUCAUCUUGGUUGUUUCGUCGAACUAUUAGUGGGUUGGCUUGACCAACGGUCCCACUGUAGUUCCCUCCUUCCGAAUGCCCAUCAUUCAGUUCGGGCUGUUCGAUUGGUAUUGUAGCUUCCUCUCGAUUUUGUUGAAGCAAACGCCUGGUUUCCUCCAUUUGACGAUCCAACAUCAUUUGUAUCAAUGUCUGUACUCCGACCAUCGUGAUGGGCUUAGGAGUGGCUACCACAACAAGUAUUUGCUCAAUCACUGGAGGUUGAUUCCUGUUUUCGUUUGCGGUCCCGACUCCACUUUGGGUUUUUGCCAUUUCGAUCUAUACACCAAUUCAGAUGUUCAGUGUGUAAUGACGAGAAUUAAGAUAGGAAAUAUUUUAUUUACGAUCGACAUGUAAAUCUCCCUAUCACUCCGAAAACUUAUAUUCCAGUUCUAAUACCGUAAUUAAACGCUUAGAAACCUGAACACAUAAAUUUUCCAAAUCCGGUCGGCAACAGACCAUAGAUCUGAUCAUAUAAUGCAUAUCAUAAAUCAUUUAGCACAUUAAAGCAUGUUAGGUAUUUUCCCUAAAUAAGCUAGUGCUUGUGUCUAUUCAGGUGUAUUACCUAAAUUUUAUUAGACACACUCCUCACAAUCAUUGCUUAGCAUUCUAAGUUUAACUCUAAAAAUCAAUACAUAUUCCUAGUUCGCUUAAACUAAUGCUCUGAUACCAACUAUGAAAUCCCCAUUUUCACGGCCAGAAAAGAUCAAUUUUGUUUAUGCUUUAUAAAAAUCAGGGUACCUCUUUUAGUGAAAAUGUUGCGGAAUUUGUUCACAGUAAAACAUGAUAAAUAUGUUAUCAAAGCAUUUCCGAAGAAAUGUAUUUUUAUUCAUUUUAAAACAUCUGGGAUGUCAUCGUCAAUACAGAAACAUAAGCAUAAACAGAACUUACAUUUAUUUACACUAGUGAUCUACAUCUCUUUAAUCUCCCAGUGUAAUGUAACUUCGUAUAGACACCUGUGAUACAAAUAAGCUUGAGUGGGUCAGGUUGGGAGACAUGGUGAGUACAUAGGGAUUUCAAUCCCACAAUGUUCUAUCAUAUAUAUAAUUGAGAACUCACAAAAUAUACAAUUUCACCAUAUAUAUAUAUAUAUAUAUAUAUAUAUAUAUAUAUAUAUAAGCAAUUCUUACCCCACCUACUUAAUCCUUACAACGANCCCCACCUUGUUAAUCCUUACAACGAGACUAUCCAUACUUUCGGACCUUAAGUUUUACCUCUUAAUUAACCCGUACUCUCAGAUCUAAUUCAUGCUCUCGGAUCAAUAAUUGUCCCCAUUCCAUACUCUCGGAUUCGGGACAAGUGUCUAUGUGUAAAUCCAUUCUCCCGGAUUAACGACGAAUAACUAUGUCCUAUCCAUACUCCCGGACUGAGGACGACUGACUAUGUCUUAAUCUAUACUCCCGGACUAAGGACAACUGACUAUGUCUUAAUCUAUACUCUCGGAUUAAUGACAGUUGAUUAUGUCCAAUCCAUACUCUCGGAAUAGGGACAAUGACUGUGAUACAAUUAAGCUUGAGUGGGUCAGGUUGGGAGACCUGGUGAGUACAUAGGGAUUUCAAUCCCACAAUGUUCUAUCAUAUAUAUAAUUUAGAAUUCACAAAAUAUACAAUUUCACCAUAUAUAUAUAUAUAUAUAUAUAUAUAUANAAUAAUUGUCCCCAUUCCAUACUCUCGGAUUAGGGACAAGUGUCUAUGUGUAAAUCCAUUCUCCCGGAUUAACGACGAAUAAGUUUGUCCUAUCUAUACUCCCGGACUGAGGACGACUCACUAUGUCUUAAUCUAUACUCCCAGACUAAGGACAACUGACUAUGUCCUAAUCUAUACUCCCGGAUUAAUGACAGUUGACUAUGUCCAAUCCAUACUCUCGGACUAGGGACAACGACUAUGAUACAAANNNNNNNNNNNNNNNNNNNNNNNNNNNNNNNNNNNNNNNNNNNNNNNNNNNNNNNNNNNNNNNNNNNNNNNNNNNNNNNNNNNNNNNNNNNNNNNNNNNNNNNNNNNNNNNNNNNNNNNNNNNNNNNNNNNNNNNNNNNNNNNNNNNNNNNNNNNNNNNNNNNNNNNNNNNNNNNNNNNNNNNNNNNNNNNNNNNNNNNNNNNNNNNNNNNNNNNNNNNNNNNNNNNNNNNNNNNNNNNNNNNNNNNNAUAUAUAUAUAUAUAUAUAUAUAUAUAUAUAUAUAUAUAAGCAACUCUUACCCCACCCCGUUAAUCCUUACAACGAGACUAUCCAUACUCUCGGACCUUAAAUUUUACCUCUUAAUUAACCCAUACUCUCAGAUCUAAUUCAUGCUCUCGGAUCAAUAACUGUCCCCAUUCCAUACUCUCGGAUUAGGGACAAGUGUCUAUGUGUAAAUCCAUUCUCCUGGAUUAACGACGAAUAACUAUGUCCUAUCCAUACUCCCGGACUGAGGACAACUCACUAUGUCUUAAUCUAUACUCCCGGACUAAGGACAACUGACUAUGUCUUAAUCUAUACUCAUGGAUUAAUGACAGUUGACUAUGUCCAAUCCAUACUCUCGGACUAGGGACAAUGACUAUGUCUAAUCCAUGCUCCCAGAUCAAGGUCAUAUACUAAAGUUCUAUUCUUUGAGUAUAACUCACUCGUAUUCAUAAGAAAAUACUACCCAAUAUUCCUCAUAAUUAAUUUGGGUUUACUCUUUAUCCUAAAUCAUCAUAUAUAAUCAGGUAUGUUCUUCAACACGUACUUCAGGCAACAUCAAUUAACUUGCACAUAAACAUAUAAUUAAUACUUCAAUCAAUACUUGUAUUAAUAUCAUGUUCAAGAAAGGGACUAUGUACUCACCUGAUAAGGUGGUGACUCGGUACUCGGACGACACUUCGUUUACUUUAAACAACUCCUUUGGCAAAAGCUAGUAUCAUUACCACUAGAGUUUAGUCUAAUGCUCGACGAGACUAAUUAAUAGUCUAACUAUUAUUACUAUUAUAUAAGCGUUAACACAAUACUUUUCACCCACUAUAUAUACAGACAGGGCCAGAAAUGGAACAUCGGAGGGCAGGAUCAUUUUGGCAUAUAGCACUUUUGAAACCCAACAACCCAAGCGGCCCUCCAAACCAGAUUCCCUGUACCUCGAGUGGUUAAAAAGAUAUUAUAACGACACUUAUAUAAUUCAUAAUAAUAGCCCAAACAUUUAUUAUAAGGUCCUAAUAACAUUACUAUAUUUAAAAUAGCGUAUGCGUAUCUUACCUACGAGGGGGUUUGGCUAGAAGUCGGGCUCUGCAAGGGCAGAACUUCCGAGUCGAAAGCUCUUCUUCUCGGAGCCGUCGAGCGCUCCAGGGCUUUCUUCUAGCGCUAGGGGAGUUUUGGGAGUUUUAGAGAGAGUGUAGACUUGGGGAGAGGUUCUAUUUAUAGGGUGUAAUAUGGCUGAACUUGGUUCCACAUGUCAUCAUCUGAUGGCAAGACUUGGGGAGAAAGCAAUGGCCAAGAUUGUGCCACGUUACCCAUUUUCGCACAACACACUUCCGACUUCUAAAAUUCGUAACUUUCACAUAUGAGCUCCCAUUUGGCAUUCUUUAUAUCCAUGCGGAGGUAAAAAUAAUAUCUACAACUUUCAUUUUUACUCCGUCGGCUAAUUCUCAACCGAUCUAUAAUGUAACAGUAGGAGGAGAUUAUACUAUUAAAUGACCACGAAAAAUCUCUAACUCCUUCAUACAGACUCCGUUUUCAUUUUGUCUUUUUAUCGUUGAGUUCCUAUUAAUGAGAUCUUCAACUCUCAUUUAGGUCGUGUAUGCCAAAAACCGCUCGAUCUAAAAUUCGAGUUUCGAGCCGUGCACUGUUGCGCGACAUCUUAGAAAAUUCAUAACUUCCUCAUAUGAAGUCAGAUUUGGGCGUUCUUUUUAUGCACAGUCUUGGUUUAACGUAUACUACAACUUUUGUUUAGAUCACUAAGGCCAAAAAGUCCUCUAUUGUAAAUUCACUAUUUACGUCUCCCGGUGCCGUGUCUGUUUUGCCGUAAAACUUCGACGGACCGUAACUUCUUUGUUAUUACUUGGAUUUUGGCUUCUCUAUAUGUACGGAACCCUUGUAACAUAUACUACCACUUGGUUAAUAUUACUCCUUCUAAAUAAUAUUCCAUCAAAAACUCAUUGUUGAUGCUUAUUGUCUCUAAAUUAACUAGCCCGAAUCUGCGGGCGUUACACCUGUACACUCUAUUCAAAUACACGACACAUUCAUAACCUUCAGGCUGUGCCAUAUACAUAACCUCUAAUAGUAUCCUUGGAAGAAAGUCAUUUUUACAACCAUUUUCCAUACAUCAUAAUUAUCAAAGGCACCUAUGGAAUGUAGUAUCCUAAUAGACUUUAUCUUGGCUACUAGUGAGACCGUUUCCUCAUAAUUAAUUCCUUCAGUCUGAGUGAAACCUUUUUCCACUAACCUAACUUUGAAUGUGUGCACAUUUCCAUCCAUGUCAGUCUUCUUUUUGAAGAUCUAUUUACAACCUACUAUAUUAAGACCAGGUGAUGGAGUAACCAACUUACAAACUUCGUUAUCCAUCAUGGACUGUAUUUAGUUAUCCAUUUCGACUUUUCAUUGGGCAACCUCAGAGCCUGCCAUUGCUUCCUUGUAGUUAGAUGGCUCAUCCAUAUUGAGUAGUGUUUUAUUAUGAAGAAACAUGUUUCCCUUGCACACUUAUAUGGAAACCAUAAAACUCGAAAGGAUUGCUAACUCUAGCAGAUCAAUGAAGACGUAAGGAUAUAUCUUUUGGCUCAACAGGUUUCUCAACCUCUGAUUGAGUACUAGUGCUAAUUAUAGGUUCACUGUCGGUUGACUCUCAUAUUUAUUCAAGUUUAAGUUGACUCCCAAUGACUUUUGGAGAUAUAAGUUCUCUCAAAAGGAACAUUCUUUUUCGAGCCACAAAUACCAUGUUUUCACUGGAUCUAUAAAAUAAAUAACCAAAAACCUUUUGUGGAUAACCAGCAAAAAGACACAUCUCUGUGACAACCGAGAAAAUACAUCGCCAACCGACGUUAGGAUCUAACGUUGUCAAUAACACGUAACUAGACCACUUUGCAACUAUUCCAUAUAUGGAUAAAUAUAUUCAACAUUUUUAAUUACGCCGACUAACGAGCUCAAAAUAUAAGUGUGUAAAAAAUCAUUUCAUCUUAGGAAUGGGUUAACAUUUUUAAAAUGUACGCGUUAUCGCAAUCCCAAAAAUAUAAACUUUGUAAAAAUAUGACAUCGUAUGGAAGAGAUAUGAUUUUUAUAGUGAAUAAAAAUCUAUUGCACACAAAAAGUUACAACGGAAAAAAUUACGAGGAGAAUGGUUGACCUUUAACAGAAUUCACCAAAAGGAGGAACGUAGCACUACUUAAAGUAGGAAUUUUGAGACAAAGAACUCCUGAAUAGAAACCUAUUGGAAAAUUGGUGUUAACAUUUAGUCACUAAACUUUUUUUCGUUAUCUAUUUGCCAUUAAACUAUUGAAACCGUUCACAUUUUACCCUUAUAACCGGCUGUUACCGGUCAUAAGGGUAAAAUGUGAACAGUUUCAAUAGUUUAGUGACAAAUAGAUAACGAAAAAAAAUUUAGUGACUAAAUGUGAACAAAAUCGAAAGUUCGUUUCCCUCUAAAAAGUUCAAUGACUAAAUGUGAACAAACUUCCUCUUGUAUUAUGUUUUAGCAAAUUAUUUAUUUUUGUGAAACUAUAGCAACAUUUGUUGAUGAAGAAAUCUAUGAAAAAAAAACCCUGAAAAUAUAUUUUUUUUUAAAAAAAAAACUGAAACCGAAAUAAAAAAUCAAUGGUUUGACAUUUUCCAAAAUAAAAAAUCAAAAUUUCCAAUCUGAUUUUGGUUUUACAAAAAAAAUGAACCAUUCUCACUGAUGUGAAUUGUGACCAUUGGUUUGGCAUGCGGAAUUUGUGACAUCCCAUGAAUACAUAGUUACAACAUCGUCUGAACUCGUAAUUCAUUGUAAGAGGUUAGAGUAUCAUCGCAUGAAUACGUAGUUACAACAUCGCCUGAACUCGUAAUUCAUCACCUACAGGUUAUGGGUCUGCUGGUGUUUCCACUAGGUUGUCUAGAAUAGUCCGUGGUCGCCAUCUAUACUCUGGUAGAUGACUACAUCGCCACAUUGCCGGUUAAGGUUAUGGUAUCUCCUUUCAUCCUACAUCACCUAUUCAUCAUCAUCUAUUUACCUAAUUAUCAUCACCUUUCUAUCAUCACCUAUCUCUCAUUAUUUGAUUUCAUCACACACCAACUAUUUCAUCUACCCAUGUUUCAUCCGCAACAUAUUUGUAGAUAUAAAAUAAAUAUACCGUUUAAAUCUUUUAAAACAUGUAUAAAAUCGUUCAUCCAGCAUAGACAACAAGUAUUCAAAUAAUAUGCACACAUAACACGUAAUUUAUAUAAAAUACUUCAUAUCUAUGUGUAAGAUGAAAGUAACUAUAUAUACCAUAAAAAUCCCAUAAAUGCUUCCUAACUUCAAACCCCAAGGUUUACUCUACUAAAGCUUCAUAUUCUCGGCUCUCUGAACCUAGAAGGGUCCAGAUUCCUAACUUCAAACCCCAAGGUUUACUCCUAAAGCUUCAUAUUCUCGGCUCUCUGGACCUAGAAGGGUCCAGAUCUAUAACACAAACUUGGAAGAGGGAUUUGAGGCAUUCAAAACCCCAAAGAUGAAGUGAUUCAAGCCCUAACCCCAAAAUGGAGUCUACACAAUAGGGAAGGAAAGGGGUUCAUUUUUGUACCUCAGAAUGAAGCUCCUUGCUUGAAUAACUCAGAACAAUAACCUUCCUUGGUCCCUCUUGCUGGAACUCUUCUCCUUUCUUGCAAAAUCACACCAAAAAGCUCAAGAUAGCUCUUCCUCUCACUCUACACACUCAAGCUCGCUAGGGUUCUCACUUAUGGGAAAGGUAGUCGCAAUUGAAGGCCAUAAGUGCCUUUAAAUAUGGCUCGGGCCCAAAGAUUUAGGGUUUCUGCCAACAGCGCAGACUCGUCGAGUCGCCUCACCGACUCGUCGAGUCCAUUCAUUAAUCCGAUUCAUCAUUCGUGACCUUACUCGACGAGUUGAGGGGUCAACUCGUCGAGUCUCUCUUCUUAACUCAAAAGAAAAAUACUUAAAUUAUGAUACCUGAAAAUCCGGAUGUUACAUUUUGUUUUUUUUAUUUAUAGAUUUCUUCAUCAACAAAUGUUGCUACAAUUAAACAAAAAUAAAUAAUUUGCUAAAACAUAAUACAAUAGGAAGUUUGUUCACAUUUAGCCAUUGAACUUUUUAGAGGGAAACGAACUUUCGAUUUUGUUCACAUUUAGUCACUAAACUUUUUUUCGUUAUCUAUUUGCCACUAAACUAUUGAAACUGUUCACAUUUUACCCUUAUGACCGGUAACAGCCGGUCAUAAGGGUAAAAUGUGAACAGUUUCAAUAGUUCAAUGGCAAAUAGAUAACGAAAAAAAGUUUAGUGACUAAAUCUGAACAAAGUUGAAAGUUCGUUACCCUUUCAAGUCAUUAUCCCUUUUAAAAAAUGGGUUUUUUUUCCAUUUUUUUACACAUCCAAAAUGGAUUUAUAUGAAUGAGAAAUUAAUCCUUAAAGUAGGGUGUUGGAAGAACUAAAUAAAAGAGUUUAAUGGUCGGGAGAAAGAAAAGAAAAGUCCAAGGAACUUUCUUGCAAACAUUUCUUUCUUUUGUAACUGAAAUUGUAAUUAAUAUUACAAUUUAAUUACAUAUUAACACACAUUAAUUUUGUGAUUAAUAGAGGGGUUUAAAUGGGAGGUUAUAGAAUGUGUAGUGUAAAUACCACUACUCUACAACCAUUUGUGAGCACCAAAAGAAUGUAAGAAAACUCUCUUCUUCCCCCACUUCAUCUUCUUCUUUUUCUAGCUAUAUUGAAGAUAUAAUCCAAGCCUAUUAAGGGUUCGGGUGGUAUAGAAGAACCACUUCUACUUGUUGUAUCCUGGGAAACAAACACCCGAUAGCAGGCGAAUUUGUUUUAAGGACAAUGUGUUAAACACAUGCCUCAACUUUUCUUAUUUCUUAUUUCCUUUUCGUAUAUUUCUGUAAUAUUAUUCCUACAAUCUUAAAACAAACUAGUUUGUAUGAAUCGAACUAGAAAUCGGAAACAAUUUUACUUACAUUAUUUUGAUAUUGUACAAUUUUCUUAGAAAAAAAUGGAUAUUUUUUGUGAUUUUGAAGCAAAUUUGGUCAUUGAGUCAUUAAGAAAUGUAUUUGUUUUUAAGUAUCAGAUUUUCCAGCUUCAGUACUAAUUAUAUUAAGUUCCUAAUGAGUUAAGCAGCUAGCUUAACUCAAAAAAACAAUUUACGUGUUGCUGUGAAAUGCUCUAAUCUGUCCUAAUCUUUGAAAAAUCAUAGCUUUGUCAUGGAUGCUCAUUUUUUGUUGAAACCAAUUCUCGUAGUUUUUUAUAUGAGUCUACUUCAUUUCAUUACAUUUGGCCGAAAGCUGGAAACAACUCUAACUAUGGUGAAAAAUACGAUUUUCACUGACUGGUUAGAUUUUAACAGCUAUGAUACACAGUUUUGUAAAAUUCAUAAUAAAUUGUAGAAAAAUCGUAUGAACUUGUGAAAGUAGUCCUUGGAAAGAAAAGAGACGAUACUACUGGAUUAUGAACUCAGAUUUCCCUUUUGACAAGUUUAAGUGGGGCUAAAGCAGUCUUGAACAGACUACAUUUUUUUUGUUAAAAACAAAAAGGCUUUGUUUAGUCAAAAACGACUUCAUUUUUAUGUAAAACAGCUUUGGAAAUUAGAAAACAGCUUGGUUUUAAAUCAUAUUUUAAAUAGUUUUGUUGAAAGAAAACAUCGGAUAUUCUGAUAUCAUAAUUUAUGCAUUAGUUUUCUGCAUGAGAAAUCAAAUUUUAGAAUUUUUGCAUCAGAAAUCAAGUUUCAUAUUUGUUCAAAUAUAGAUCUUUAAUUAUGUUGAGUUUUUUCUAAGCAAGAGCCAAACAUAUUUUCUGGAAAUUAGAAUUCUAAACAUUUAUAUUUAGGGUAUAAAUGAUUUCAAAAAUGUCAUCAUCCAAAGUGGAACGAUUUCCGAAGUAAACUCUAUGGAUGCUAACUCCAUUGUGUGAUGGAUUGAUAUGGGUGUUACACGCCAUGUGUGCUCAAAGAGGAAGUGACUCAAGAAUUAUAAUUUUGUCCAAGUUGAGGAAAAAAUUUAUUCCUGAAAUUGUGAUUCUAAACACUUAAAUUUGGUGUUUAAAACAUCCAGAAAUGGUAUAACAUAGAAAAGAGCUAACACUUAAUGAUGUGUUGUAUGUUCCAUAGAAGGACUUAGUGUUUGGAUGGUUUUUGAACAAACAUGGAUUUUUUUUUCGUGUGUGAGUCCAAUAAGUUUGUACCAACCUAAAAAAAAGUAUGUUUGUAGGCAAGGUCUAUGAGGAUGGUGGAAUGUUUAAAUUCCAUAUAUUGGGUAAUGAGCCUAAUAUCAAUGAGUUGGAUAACUCUUCCUCUUACUUGAUUAAAUUUCUAACGUGUGACAUGCUAGAUUUGGACAUGUUAAUAUCGACACGUUAAGAAGGUUAAUCGAACUUGAACACAUACCUUAUUUUCGUACAAGUCGAAAUAUGGAUGCAACACUUGAGUUGAGUCAAAGUUCAAGUUUGUUGAAAGGACGACUAAACCCCUUGGAUUAAUUCACACAAAUGUGUGUGAUAUGAAAUCGUAUCGACAUAAUGGUGAUAUAAGUAAUUUAUCACUUUUAUUGACGAUUGCAUUAAACUUUGUUAUGUUAAUUUAUUUAAAAGUAAAGAUGCACAAGUUUAAAUUGUACAAAAGUGAGGUUGAGAAUCAUCUCAACAAAAAGAGUGAAUCUGGAUGUGAAUAUGCAUCACUAUUUGAGGACUUUUUUGCAAGUCAUGGUAUUAAACAUGAGCUUAAGGCACCUUAUUUACCAUAACAAAUGGCAUCACCGAAAAGAAACAUCAUAUCUUAAAUGAAAUGAUGAAUGACAUGUUGUUGCUUAUGUUUUGGGUUGCCACACUCAAUGUGGAGGGAAGUUUUGUUGUUAACUAAUUACCUUUUAAAUAAUGUACCCCAAAAGAAAAUGGGAAAAAACCAUCUAAGUUAUUGUCAGGUAUAAAAUCAUCUUACAAAUACAUUCAAAUAUGGGGGUGUCUCACAAAGGUUUUAUACCUAACCCCAAGGUUGUAAGGAUUGGACACUAUAUUAUUGGUUGCAUAUUUAUUGGUUAUACACAAAACAAUAGUGUUUAUUGUUUUCUUGUACACUAAUGGAAUCAACAAAUGCAUCAUAGUUUGAACAUGAGUUUCCAUGUCUUGAUCAAUAAAAGACUAGUGCUCCAAAACAAUUGGGCACAAAGAAUACUAUCAUGAAUAAGAAAUGGAGGAAUAAAUAGAUCAUGAUGGAGUAAAAUGGGACAAGUGAGAAAUCAUUUGGAGAUGAUUAAUGCAUGUAUAUGGUUGAAAGAGAGCCUCAAACUUUCAAAAAGAAUUCAAUUCCUCUGAAAGACCUCAAUGAAAAGAGUCAAUUAAAAGUGAAAUGGAUUCUUCCUUUCCAAAUCACACAUGAGAGCUAGUGGAUAUACCUUUAUUAUGUAAACCAUAAUGAUAUAAAUGGAUUUUCAAGAGGAAAAUGAAAACAUAUAGAUCCAAAGAAUAUGAGAAUCAGUAGCACGUAAUGGUCUAUGAUUUAAAUUGAAAUAUGUAGUGAUUUCUUGUUUGGUAUUUUAGAAUCAAAUGAUACUUCUAUAGUCCAAGAAGCUAUUUCCGCUAAAUCCAAUAAUAUUGGUUGGAAUUGAUCAAAACAAGAUAAAGGUUUUGAUAUUAAACAUGAAGUUGAUAAGACUAUGAAUGGAAAUAUAAGUAUUCUAAAUUUGGAAUUAUAUGAUUGUUUCUUAGAAAAUCAUAUUGCAUUAAGUUGUAUAAACUAUAUUUUUCUAUCGUUUGAACUAUUAAGCUUGAGAAAUUACCACAGUUUAGUGGAUUUCCAAAUGAGAAGUAAGAGAUGAUGACAUAUUUGAAAUAUAUGUUUCGAUUACAAACAUAAGAAUGCCUUGAUUAAUUUCAUUUGUAUUCUCUUAUAACUAUAUGUGGUUGUAACUUUUCGAACUUUGGAAGUAUAUCAUUCUGAUAUGAAAUUAAAACUUCUAAAUAUAGAUUUAGAAGUAUAAAUCUACAUGAAACUAUUAAGCAGUUAUAUUACCCGAGGGAAAGCAACAAAAUGUAUAAGUAGUAAAGUCAUUAUAUGAUUAAAGCAAGCUUUGGAACAACAGGUAUCAAAAGUUUGAAUAUCUCAUUCAACAUCAAUGGAUGUGAUGAAAUAGAUCCAUAUAAAUGGAACUUUAAAAUGAUAUUCUAUUUUAUGAGAUAGUAGGAUCCUUGAGAUAGGAUGCCUAAAGAAUUUUACAUGUAGAUGGUUAAGACAAGAAAUUGCAUGGAAAAAUACGUUAUUUCCAAGAAAACUCAUGUAUGGAGUAUUCAUAAUUACAUCUGGCUAAUGUUAUUGUGAAUUCACAGAUACAUGUAGUACAUAUGAAUAUCAUAUUAUGUUGACACAAUGAUACAUAUUCAGUGGUUGUAACUAUGGUGUAGUUAUAACCAUAUUGAUAGUGGUCAACAUUUGUUGGAAAAUAUAGGAGAAAAAAAUUUGCAAGUUUAUCCUAGGUUGGGAUUUGUAAGCUCUUGGGAGACGUCCCAUGAUGAGCCAAUAACUCCUAUAUAUGUACAUGAUGAUGUAAAUAAUGUUGAGUCUAUAUAUUUUUCGAAUACAUAACACCAUUCAAAAACGACUAUCAAGAUGAAUUAUCUUUAAUAACUAUAUAAAGUCAAAAUAUGAUUGCGGAUCCACUAACGAAAUGCUUGGAAUGAGAGGUUGUUAUGAGGAAUGGGACAAAAUCCCAUAGAUUAAUAAGUUAUUGCGAAGGAAAACCCAACCUAAUUGAUUGGAGAUCCCAAGAUCUAGGUUCAAUGGGACCACCUACUUGCAUAUAACAUUUGUGAAUCAUUGUGGGGGUUAACCCCAACCCAUUCCUAAAACAAACAAUGAUGCGGGUUAAGCUUAUAGCCGAAGAUGAUAAGUUGGAAAUCAUCAUGGAUUAGCUUUUAAUGAUUAUGAUGGAAUCAACUAUGUGAGAGAGAAGUGGGGUCGCUUCAAAGGGAAUUGUAUGGGCACAUUCCUAAGAGCUCUUACAAAACUAGGCAAGUGUCCAUGAUCAUAACGGACACAUCAAUGAGAACCUAACUAGGUCAGGGAGAAUCAUGUGAGACACACACAUAUUAUUUACACAAACGACAGAACAGUUCAUGGACAUUGAGUCUACUGGUCAGCUAGUAAAAUAAAUAUGUGAUUUAAAGGAAGGUUCAAAGGGUAACACCUACCUAUCCUAUGCAUGAUUCUGUUGGAAUAGUGUCUAAGGCUGCAACUAUAUUAGGCAAGUAUUUAACCCGGUUGUGCAUGGUCCUUUUGGGUUGCCUUCACCAUAGCAACUUGAUAGGAUGAUUUAUUUAGAGAGAAUAAAUAUUAUUAAUAUAUUAUGAGAAUAAUAUAUAAAGAAUAAUAAUAUUAUUAUUUGAUUAAUAUAAGUCAUAUAAUUAAUUAGAAUUAAUUUGGUGACUUAAAGAGAUUAAUUAAAUAAGAGGGUAUAAACUGUCAAUUGUUUGAUAGUUAAACUUUAGACUGUAAAUCCAUAUUGGAUAGGGGUGGACGGAUUCUAGAAGCUAGAGAUAGCUUAAAAUCGUCCAAGUCUAUCUAAGGAAUGGAUUUGGAUUGCUUUAAGAGAAGAUUAUCCAAUUAGGGUUUAAGUUGUAACCCUUAAGGAGUCUACAAGUAUAAAUAGACCCUAUGGCAAAGGGAAAUCGGCACUUGAUCUAAAGUAGAGAACCCCUGGCCGAAUUCCUCCCCUCUCCUCUCUCUCAAAUCAUCCUCCUUGCUAUUUGGUGUUUGUAAGCCAUUAGAGGAGUGACAAUUGUGACUCUAGAGCUCCAAGACAACAAGAUCAAACAAGAGAUUCAAAGGUAUGAUUCUAGAUCUGAUUUAGUAUUGUUCUUAUACCUAAUUAGUCAUUAGAAGUCUUGGAUUCAAAGCAUGUUUAAUUAGAAAGCCUAGAUCCAAGCAUUAGGGUUUUGCAUGCGCACAUAGGAAAGUUCUUAUGGCUAAAACCCAUCAGUGGUAUCAGAGCCUAGCUUGGUUUUCAUUAAAUUGUUGCUUAUUUGUUUGAAACUUAACUGCAAAAUUCGAUUUUUGUGUUUCUGAGUCAUGGACUCGGCGAGUUCCAUAGUGGACUCGGCGAGUUGGCCUGACUCGGCGAGUCCCUUGGUGCACUCGGCGAGUCCAAGCGUCAGGAAUGGCCAGAUUCGGGAUUUCUUCAUGAUUAUCUUAUGGAAACUUACCUUAAUCAUAUUAGAUCAACCCUAAUCCGAUUUUUUGAUAUAUAUGACUAUAAUCUUGAUCUAAUUAAAGAUAUUUAUCAACUAAUAAAAUAUUUAAUUUCCUUAUAUGAUAAUUAAUUAAUUAUUUUGAUUAUUUUGGUAAUUAUCUUGCAAGAAAUCUUGAAUAAAUCAAAUAUAGAUAAUUAGGAAAUUAAUUGUUAAUUAAAAUUAUUUGUUAUUUGAUCCUCCAUGUUUUAAAUGUUUAAAACUUGUCCUCAAGUUUUGAAAUUUAUAUUUUGUGAUUAAAAGUUUUAAUUUAGACAAUUUAAAUUUCAAACCCUAGAUUUUAAAAGGUUUAAAAUACAACCCUAUACUAAUAUAAUAUUACAAGAAUAAUAUAUAUAUAUAUAUAAAUAACUAAAAUGCUAGUCUUACCGUUAGUAGGCCUCAUUCACGAAGCCGAUCUAUAAGGUGGGUAUAAGGUUGCGGCCUAUAAAAUGGCGCUUAAUGGGUGUACACUCACACCCACCGCUUGCUUGAUCGGUGGAGGGUCGUUAGCCGAACGGGUAGGAUAGGGCAACCUCAUCCUCUCAUUAAAAGUAUAAUAAGAAAUACAAAGUAACUACACAUAUUUUAAAAUUUCCCAAUCUUAGUUACUUUAGGAAAAGUGAAUUGAUGCAAUCCCAUGAAAUUACACUUUGCACCCUUGCUAAGAAGUUAGUGGAGCGUGUGUGGUUUACCGGCACACUAAUUGGUUCUAAGCAAAGGUGGCAAAGGGUGAUUCAUUGUUUAUCAUAGUUCGAUGGAGCGUGUGUGGUUUACCGGCACAUCGAAUAGGUGAUCGUUACAAUGAAGGCACCAUGUGAAUUUGCAUGGUAAUUCACACCCGCUUUGUGAUCCUCGGUAUCCCAGUCACAAACAAGAGGGGCAUAUCGAGAUUUAAACAUGCCAUUGAAUAGUUUCAAUGAAUCUCAUCCGAACCUAGGAAUUCUCAAUACAUUUAGGACUAAUAGUUAGGUUUUUUGGUGGAGAAUUAGUGAAUCGUCAUUCACUUACCUUCAAUUUAUUUGCAUGUUAGAUUACGGCAUCCCUUUUCUAAUAUGUAAAUGUUGUUGUUGGAUCCUAGCCCUAAUUUUUCUUAUUGGGUGAUAAUUAGGGAUUCAUAUUCUAAUCUAUCUUUGUCCUUUCUAUUUGUAGAUGUCGAACGCAAACAACGCUGCUGCUAGUUCUUUCACAUUGAUGAGCCUUUGUCAAAAGGUCACUUUCGAUGGGACGAACUUUAGCGAAUGGAUAAGAUACAUUCGCACCAUUGCUCGCUAUGAGGAUAAGGAGUAUGUCCUCGAUGAGAAGCUCGAGAAAAUCAACCCUGAAAUCGCUACUCCGGCUGAAAUGACCGCUUUUGAAACUCAUGAGCGCGAUGCAACGAAGGUACAUUGCAUCAUGAUAGCCACCAUGAACUCCGAAUUCCAAAAGUCCUAUGAGGACAUGUACCCGUACGAGAUGCAUCAAGACUUAUUGGAGAGAUACCACCAAAACGCGAGACAAGAGCGUUAUGAGAUUUUCACUAACAUGAUUUCCGCUAAGAUGGGUCAUGGAGAGUCUCUUACCGUGCACCUGCAAAAGAUGCAAAGGUAUGUCGACCGCCUUCGCAAGUUAAAUGUUGACUUUGGGGAAGACUUGGCGAUCGACAUGGUGCUUCACUCUUUGCCUCCGAUGUACAAUCAAUUUAGGAUGACCUACCACAUGAACAAAGAGGAGGUCACCCUAAGCAAACUCCAAGGUCUCUUGAGGGUCGCUGAGAGCAACUUCAAAGACAAGUCUGUUGCACCAACUCCCAAUCCACCCGCUGCUCCUGUCUUGGCUAUUGGUCAAGGAAAGGGAAAGAAGAGGAAGGCUUCGUCUAAGAACUAUCGCAAGGUUAAAGCCCGAGAUGGUGCCUCUUCUAGUGGGACCAAAGUUGAUCCCGCUAAGCCCUGCCCUAACCCAAAGGAGGCAGAGUGCCACCACUGCCACAAGAUAGGACAUUGGAAGAGAAGCUGCCCAGAGUACCUGCAAGCCAUCAAGGAAGGAAAGAUCAAGCCAUCUUUCGCAGGUAUAUACACAAUUAAAUCUAACGAUUCUAAUCAUGCUAUUUCUUGGGUUCUUGAUACCGGUUGUGGUUACCACAUUUGUUCUAAUGUGCAGGGACUAAGAAGAAGUAGGGAUGUGGAGCAAGGAAGGAUCAAUCUAAUCAUGGGGAACAGAAGAUCGUCGCCUGUGACCAAGAUUGGAGUGUAUUCUUUAGUGCUUAGGAAUAGUUUAUGUUUAGAUUUGAACAAUUGUUGCUAUUCGCCAGAAAUGGCUAGAAACAUCAUUUCAUUUCAUGGUUUGUUUAGACAAGGUUUUAGAUUUUCUUUUAAUAAUGAGAAUGGUUCUAUUUUGGCUUAUCUAAAUGGUGUCUUUUACUUUGAAGCUAUACCAUGUAAUGGAAUUUAUGAAACUGUUAUGAUUGUUGAUAACUUAGGAAAUGAUGUUUUGAACAUAGAUUCUUCCACUAGUAUGGAUAAAGCAUCCUUGUGGCAUUGUCGUCUUGGACAUGUCAACAAGAAACGCAUAGCCCAACUCCAAAAGGAUGGAGUGUUGGAGUCAUUCGACCUUAGGGAAGAUGACACAUGCGAGUCUUGUUUACUUGGAAAGAUGACUAAGUCACCCUUCACGAGUACGUGUGAAAGGGGUGAGGGUCUAUUGGACCUAAUACAUACCGAUGUAUGUGGACCGUUUAGAUCAACCACGAAGGAUGGGAACCGCUUCUACGUGACUUUUACCGAUGACUAUAGUAGAUAUGGGUAUAUCUAUUUAAUCAAGCAAAAGUCAGAAACCUUUGAAAAGUUCAAAGAGUUCAAGAAUGAAGUGGAGAAUCAAUUGGGCAGGAAAAUCAAGAUGCUUCGAUCCGAUCGAGGAGGAGAGUACCUAAGUCUUGAAUUCCACGAUUAUCUCAAGGAGUGUGGAAUAGUUUCGCAAUUGACGCCCCCUAGGACACUGUAGUUGAAUGGUGUGGCAGAGAGGCGUAAUCGAACCUUAUUAGAUAUGGUUCGCUCUAUGAUGAGUCGUGCUUCACUACCAAUCUCUUUUUGGGGGUAUGCCUUAGAGACUGCCGCCCAUAUCCUUAACCGAGUCCCUACUAAGAAGGUUGCCAAAACACCUCACGAGAUGUGGACAGGGAAAGCUCCCUCGUUGGCACAUAUCAAGGUUUGGGGUUGCGAGGCUUUCGUAAGACGAGAUACUCACGACAAGCUUGAACCUCGAAGUGAGCGAUGUAUUUUCAUCGGCUACCCGCAGACAUCCUUUGGAUAUCUCUUCUAUAGACCGAAGGACAAUGUUGUCUUCGUUGCGAGGAGAGGAGUUUUCCGAGAGCGAGAACUCAUAAGCCAAGGAGACAGUGGGAGGCAAAUCGAGCUUGAAGAGAUUCAAGAGUCGAUAGAUGAAGGAACCUCUACCGCUGGCACUCAACCCGAGGAGGAAACUCCGGUUGAACCGAUUGACGAAUCCUUACCUCUUAGACGUUCCGAUAGAGUUAGAGUUCUACCCCAGUUUUAUGGUUUUCAUAUUACUACCGAAGGGGACACGUAUAUUAGUGAUGGUACACUAAUAAAUCUUGAUGAACCUAAUAGCUAUAAGGAAGCCAUGGCAGGCCCGGAGUCUGCAAAAUGGAAAGAGGCAAUGGAUAGCGAGAUCCAAUCCAUGUAUGAUAACCAAGUUUGGAAUUUGGUUGAUUAUGUGCCCGGACGUAAGACCGUUGGGUGCAAAUGGAUCUUCAAGAAGAAGACCGACGUGGAUGGAAACGUACACACAUAUAAAGCGCGAUUGGUUGCGAAGGGCUUUACUCAAACUCCCGGAGUUGACUAUGAUGAGACCUUCUCACCAGUUGCGAAGAUUAAAUCUAUUAGAGUGAUGCUAGCAAUUGCCGCAUUUCAUGAUUAUGAGAUUUGGCAAAUGGAUGUCAAGACCGCUUUCCUUAACGGAAAGUUGGCUGAGGAUGUUUACAUGGCUCAGCCAGAGGGGUUUGUGGAUCCGAAGCAUCCGAAUAGAGUGUGUAAGCUUGAGAAGUCCAUUUAUGGACUUAAGCAAGCGUCUCGCAGAUGGAAUCUUUGCUUCGAUGAGAAAGUCAAAGAGUUUGGAUUUGUACGAAGCGAAGACGAAUCUUGUGUAUAUGUCAAAGCCAGUGGGAGUAUAGUAAGCUUCCUCGUUCUAUAUGUCGAUGACAUAUUACUCAUAGGAAACGACAUCCCGACUCUGCAGGAGGUUAAGUCCUGGCUCGGGAAGUGCUUCGCUAUGAAGGACCUCGGAGAGGCUUCUUACAUUUUGGGAAUAAGGAUAGUAAGAGAAAGAAGUAAGAGACUAAUUGGACUUAGUCAGAAUACUUACUUAGAGAAGGUACUAAAACGUUUUAGUAUGGAAAACUCAAAGAAGGGAGAACUACCGAUACAAAGUAAUGCCAAAUUGAGUAAGACUCAAAGUCCGAGUACCGAAGCUGAGAUAGCAGAAAUGAGCCGAGUACCAUACGCUUCCGCAGUUGGCUCAAUCAUGUACGCUAUGACUUGUACUCGCCCUGAUGUAGCCUUCGCUUUGAGCAUGGUUAGCAGAUAUCAAGGGAAUCCUGGCAAAGCACAUUGGAUUGCGGUGAAGAAUAUCCUUAAGUACCUUCGGAGGACGAAGGAAUGGUUCUUAGUCCUCGGAGGGAGUGAUGACUUGAAGGUGCGAGGGUAUAGUGACGCCAGUUUUCAGACCGACAGGGACAACUACCGUUCGCAGUCGGGCUGGGUCUUUACCCUAAAUGGAGGAGCAGUGACAUGGAAGAGUUCCAAGCAGGAAACCGUAGCUGAUUCAACGUGCGAAUCAGAGUACAUUGCAGCGAGCGAAGCGUCGAAGGAGGCAAUAUGGCUAAAGAACUUCAUCGGUGAUCUUGGAGUUGUACCUGCCAUAAAGGAGCCCAUGGAGAUUUUCUGUGAUAACGAAGGAGCGGUUGCCUUGACCAAGGAACCGAGGGAUCAUGGUAGAUCAAGACAUAUCGACAGAAAAUAUCACUUCAUUAGACAUCGUGUAGAAGAAGGACAACUCGUAGUGAAGAGGAUAUCAUCAGAAGAUAACCCAGCAGAUCCGCUUACGAAGGGACUGAGUAGGGUUAAGCACUUGCAGCAUGCUAGGAGUAUUGGGCUGAAGGAUGAUAUUAGCAUAGAUUAGAUAGUAUUAGAAACGUGUAAUAGAUAAAUGUAAUUGACAUUUGAUGAUUAAAUAAAGGAGUUUUAUUUAUGAGUAAUGUUACUAUCUUAUGUUAAUUGUUUAGCUAUUGUUUCACUUUGCAUGUUUUGACUUCCAGAAUAAUUGAGUUUAUUAGGAAUAAUCGAAUUGUUCAAAUGGUCCACAAUCGUUCAUAUGUUGGGAGUAGAUAUGAAUGAAGAUUGUCAUGAAUUGGUGUGUAGAAUGUCUAAAUGGUGUUAGACAUAGCAAAGGAUUGCUGCAACGUUCAUGAGUGCUUAUGAACUAGUUUUGAGCAUUGGAAUAAACCCGCGCUUGCUGGAAUCACCUUAUGGAAUACGAUAUAAAAGGUGAUCGCAAGACGAUAAUAUCAUAUAGUCUUAAAACCUAGAUAUAUGGUUUAUUAUUUGUUAAUUGAUUGUACAUUGAUAAUACGAAAACGCAUCAGUAACUUGGUGUUAUAAAACGUAUUGUUGUGUAUAGUUGGUUAAUGAAUAAGUAAAUGCAUAUAAGUCGAAGUUUAUCUGUAACUUUUAUCUAAGAAGGUAAAAGCGAUAUCUCGGCCGCUCGAUGAUUUGAUUUGACUUAUGUGCCGGGCCCGGUCAGAACUGAAUUGAUGUGUUCGAUUAAGUUCUAUGUCAAAUAAAUCAGAGAUCGAGAAACCUAAAUGCUUGACUAACCAUUCCAUAGGAUUGUCAGCAUGAUAUCUAACAGAGGACUGUACGAUCCCUUAUCUAAAGGACAAGAUUGAUUAGAUCAGAGUUUGACAGCGUCUUUGAGAGCUACGAUUGCAAAUCGAAUUGUACUUGUGCAUAUAGUUACUAGACUUAUCCAAGUGGGAGACUGUUGGAAUAGUGUCUAAGGCUGCAACUAUAUUAGGCAAGUAUUUGACCCGGUUGUGCAUGGUCCUUUUGGGUUGCCUUCACCAUAGCAACUUGAUAGGAUGAUUUAUUAAGAGAGAAUAAAUAUUAUUAAUAUAUUAUGAGAAUAAUAUAAAGAAUAAUAAUAUUGUUAUUUGAUUAAUAUAAGUCAUAUAAUUAAUUAGAAUUAAUUUGGUGACUUAAAGAGAUUAAUUAAAUAAGAGGGUAUAAACUGUCAAUUGUUUGAUAGUUAAACUUUAGAUUGUAAAUCCAUAUUGGAUAGGGGUGGACGGAUUCUAGAAGCUAAAGAUAGCUUCAAAUCUUCCAAGUCUAUCUAAGGAAUGGAUUUGGAUAGCUUUAAGAGAAGAUUAUCCAACUAGGGUUUAAGUUGUAACCCUUAAGGAGUCUACAAGUAUAAAUAGACCCUAUGGCAAGGGAAAUCGGCACUUGAUCUAAAGUAGAGAACCCCUGGCCGAUUUCCUCCCCUCUCCUCUCUCCCAAAUCAUCCUCCUUGCUAUUUGGUGUUUGUAAGCCAUUAGAGGAGUGACAAUUGUGACUCUAGAGCUCCAAGACAACAAGAUCAAACAAGAGAUUCAAAGGUAUGAUUCUAGAUCUGAUUUAGUAUUGUUAUUACACAUAAUUAGUCAUUAUAAGUCUUGGAUUCAAAGAAUGUUUAAUUAGAAAGCCUAGAUCCAAGCAUUAGGGUUUGGCAUGCGCACAUAGGAAAGUUCUUAUGGCUAAAACCCAUCAGAUUCAACUGUUGGAUUUUAUCUAGGUAGCUUGAAAAUGCUUGAUCAAUUUUCAUCCAAGGACCUUUCUUGCAAACAUUUAUUUCUUUUGUAACUGAAAUUGUAAUUAAUAUUACAAUUUAAUUACAUAUUAACACACAUUAAUUUUAUGAUUAAUAGAGGUGUUUAAAUGGGAGGUUAUAGAAUGUGUAGUAUAAAUACUACUACUCUACAACCAUUUGUGGACACCAAAAGAAUGUAAGAAAACUCUCUUCUUCCCCACUUCAUCUUCUUCUUUUUCUAGCUAUAUUAAAGAUAUAAUCUAGGCCUAUUAAGGGUUCGGGUGGUCUAGAAGAACCACUUCUAGUUGUUGUAUCCUGGGAAACAAACACCCGAUAGCGGGCGAAUUUGUUUUAAGGACAAUGUGUUAAACACAUGCCUCAACUUUUCUUAUUUCUUAUUUCUUUUUGUACAGUUUCGUAAUAUUAUUCCUACAAAACCCUCAUGAAUGAGUUAUAUUUUUUAUACAAUCAUAACGGGUAUAAAAUAUAAGCUAAAAACAAAAGUUAAAAUUCGCCAAAACAACCAAAAUAAAAGUUAUAAUACAUGUCGACACCUACACAACUAUAUAAGAGUCGUUGAAAAAUGAGUUCCCAAACGAGAGAUACAAAUUUUCAAAGUUUAAAAAUCGCCCAUGUACAGCACGCGACGUGCACUCUGACACCUCGAUCCGACAAGAUACAGAUGGCAUGGCACCUUAAGAGGGGAACACAUGUCAGCUCCCGGGUGGUUCACUCGCAACUUGUGUGGCGUUCUCUCUAAAAUUCUCUAUAAAUAGCAAGCUUUGGCAGAUCAAUUGCCACACCUUGAAAAUUACAAUUCUAUCUCUCACUCUCCCUCCCCCUUCUCUCUCUCUCUUUCUCCCUCUCUUUCUCUCUAUUCUUGAUUAUCAUGUCUAUACCUACGAGCUAUCCUUGUGUUCUGGGCUUUCGACUCUACCCUACAUCAAUGGUUUCACGCAUCAAGAGUGAGUUCACAGCCCCACUUUUCAUUUUUCAAACCUUUUUUUAGGGAGAGGGGCGCAAGGGGGGAGGGGGUGGGGAAUACAUGUUAUAUCACAACUAUUUUUAAUCAUUACAUAAUUAUUACUAACUAUAUAGUAUUAGUAAUAUAAUUAUGCUUAAGAUAUUAGGAUAAUAUUAUGCCUAGUAGAUACAUUGCCUAACAUUUUUGGAUAAUUUAUGCCUAGAUGUUACGCUUACUCACACACUCAGAAAUCAUGCAUAUCUAGUCGUUACACUGGUUAAACCUAUAGAGGAACAUUAUACCUAACUGUUAUGUAGUUACUCUAGCCAAUCUAUAGCCACUCUUUGGAUAGCUUUGUACCUAGUGGUUAAUUUUCCCAAAUACUCAGCUAACCUGAAUACUAUAACACACACACACACACACACACACACACACAUAUAUAUAUAUAUAUAUAUAUAUAUAUACACUAGGUAUGAGACCUAUGUAUUACAUGGGUUUAUCUAAAAGAAAAUUAAAUAUGAAAUUCUAACAUUUGAGAAGUUUGAAUUUAUAAGAAAAGUGAGAAAAGUAUUGUAUUAUUAAAGUUAAAGUGUUUAUUCUCUUUUGAAUUAAUAAAAGAAAUUUAGAUAAAUAAUCCAAUAAAAUAAUGAGACUUUAAUUUAGUAAUUUUGAAAUUAGAAGAGAAGUUCAUUAAUGAAAUUGAUAUGCAUAUAUCAUUACAUUUAAAUACAAUAUGGAAUUUAUACCACAUACAACACAUACGCCACUCAAGGCCAUAGCUCUAUGGGACCUUCCAGUCCAUGUGUCUCAGGGGACUUUCAUCCCAACCCUGGUAGACCUUCCGGUCCUACACGUAAUGACCUUCCGGUCCAUACCCUUUUUGACCUUCCGGUCCAUACACUGUUGACCUUCCAAUCCAUAACAUGAUGACCUUCCGGUCCAAAUACAUACUACUCAUAACAUAACAUAACACAUACAUAUCCAUUUUCACCUAUCAACAUAUAUCACAUACUCUUCAUAACACAUAGGACCUUCCGAUCACACAUAAUUACCACUUUAGGUAACGUAUAGUGAGAAGACUCACCUCGGAUGAAGUUGGAUAAACUCCCGUGCUUGAAUAUCCUGACCUAGCCUCCUCCUAUCAACAGGAUAACAUCUCUAAUCAAAAUCCUCUCAUGUUCUCAUCUCUAAUAAUGGCUAGAAGACCAUUCUACCGCUCUAUGACCUCUCUUGAAUCAACUUGACCAAAACCCCAAGGUCAACUGAAGUCAACUCUAGUCAACGUUCAAACUUUGACCAGACUCGUCGAGUGCACAUGGGUGACUCGAAGAGUCCAAGCGUGUCCUUUGGAUCCUUCUAAAGCCUCACUCUACUCUUCGUGUGAACCUUCCACUCGACGGGUUACCACUACUAAUGAAUCGCGGGGCAACCCGAUCCGACUCGUCGAGUUCCCUUAUGGACUCGGCGAGUUUCCUCCAUGGCAACACUUAUUCGACCUUCUGAGGUCAGAUCUGUUUCUCUAACUUAUAGAUCCCCAAAAGUCGCGUAAAGGUCUGAACUUGAGGCUCAUGCAUGGUGUAUUUUGCUCUAUACAUCAUUAUGACUCCAUUGAAGCUUCAUAGCUUCAAAGCUCCAAGGUUACUCCUUCAUGGCCACCUACUUUCAGGUUCUCUGGACCUCAGAAGGUCCAGAUCUACAAAAUAACUCGAAAAAAGGGUUUGGAUGCACCCAAAACCCCAUCAAUAAGGCGAUACAAGCCCUAACUUAACCACCAAAGGAAAUCUACUCAAACAGAAGGGAGACAAGAGCUUGUACCAGAUCUGAAGCUUGAAAUGAGGAUGAAACUGAUCCACCAACCCUCCUCUGAGAUCCUUGCAACACCCUUGACCUUCUUCUCAAAGAAAUGACCUCCAAUUAGCCUCUCUCUCUCUCUCCUCUUUAGCUCACAAAUAGCUCUAGGGUUUCUCUUAAGGGACGAAGACACUGAUGGGAAGGGGCCAAGGAGGCUAUAAGUGCCUUUAAAUAGGCCCAGGCCCGAGAGAAUUAGGGUUUUUGUUAACAGUGCUGACUCGGCGAGUCAGCUUGCCGACUCAUCGAGCCCAUUCAUUUUCCACGUGACCAAGCCGCGAUCCUACUCGACAAGUUAAGGCGCCAACUCGUCGAGUUACUCCUCAUAACUUCGAAAAUAAAUACUCAUUUUAUCAUACCUAGAAAUCCGGAUGUUGCAAAUUCUAGUGGGGGAGAAUUGUAACAUCCCGAAUCCCAGGUAUAAUAUUCAGUUAAAUUAUUUUCAUAUUUUCAGAGCAACUCGACGAGUUGGAUGCCCCAACUCGCCGAGUAGAGGAGUUAUUUGGCCGCAUGAUUCUGGAGUCUACUUGACGGGUUGGAGGACCCCGACUCGACGAGUAGGAGCUGGGUGAGAAAAACCUAUUUUUUUGGCUUUGUGUGCUAUUUAAAGGACCUUAAGCCCUCAUUUCUGCCACCCUUGUCACCCUACUACACUGUGUGAAACCCUAAUCGAGCUAUAACCUUGUGUGUGAGAAAGAGAGGCUAAUAUUGUGUGUUUUAGUGCAUUCUUGGAGGAAAGUUGAAGAGCAAAAGACUUUGGAUGAGAAGGAGCUUUUGGAUACGGUGUUCAAUCAUUCCUAGCUUUUGUUUGAAGGUAAAAAGUCACCAUCUUGCUAAUUGUUUUGGUUAGAUCUUGUUUUUAGGGAAUUUAGAGCCUUUUUCCC
This 69603-nucleotide long non-coding RNA is filed under the name Lactuca sativa (garden lettuce). Lineage: Eukaryota; Viridiplantae; Streptophyta; Magnoliopsida; Asterales; Asteraceae. The record is from RNAcentral.